RNAcentral lists this long non-coding RNA (56234 nucleotides) under Erythranthe guttata (spotted monkey flower). RNAcentral describes it as "long non-coding RNA (EGUT_LNC000972)". The record is from RNAcentral. Lineage: Eukaryota; Viridiplantae; Streptophyta; Magnoliopsida; Lamiales; Phrymaceae.
AUGUAAUGAGAGUUCAGGGCAUUUCACUUCCACAUUUUUCCUCAGUAUAAGCUGAUUUUUCAUUCCAUCAUCGUUGUAGUUCAACGUUUUCCCUUUUCUUUUCUUUUUUCUUUUGCUAUUUAACGGUUAGGGUACAUUCUUAUUGUCCUAAACUUGAAAAGUUGUUGAUGUCAUUUGACUGUUUCUUUUUCAAAAUACCGUUCCAACAAAGAUACUUUCCAAUCUAAUGAUCUCUCGAAAAUUACUUUUUAUCUAUCCUCUUUCAGUUCAGAUCAGCAAUCUUCCCAUCACAUUGCACUAUGUCUCUAUUCUCAACAGUCCUUACCAUGCUACCAACCACUAGCAACUCGCCCACUCCACUCCUACCAGAUCUAAUACCCAUGUUUUUACAGAUUCUUGGAUGUUUACUAUGGAAAGUACAAACAAAAGAUCCAGCAGCUGAUUACUGUUUCAGCAUUGCAGAAGGCAAGUAAUGUGAAUUAUUGAAUUAGGAGAAAAUAAUAUUAAUGAAAACAACCAUAUCGAUCGGUUAACUGAUGGACUGUUGGUAUAGUCUUGGUGACGUGGCAAGUAUCAGGAAACAUGUUACACUCUCUCCAUUACACAUGGGUUCUGGAGAACUUUGAAAAUGAAAGGUGAAAGGAAGGAUUUGCCAUAUGGCAAGGACUGAUGCAAUUGUGCAAUUGCCUAAAAUAAAGGUAAAGAGAAAAUAUUUUACCAGGGAAUUAUUCUUUUGGUUGAUAGAUCAGGAAUGAGUCUGAUUUCACCCACUCCAGUUAGAUUAGUUUCAUCAGCAGGACCAUCCGUGUGCGAAGACAUACCCAUCGAAGCGCAGGUUAGUCCAACACCACUCUUCGAAACGAGAUCAUGGAAACGUUUUUGAGGAACCACCUAAUACAUAACAAAGUGAUUGAUGAUAUUGGUAAACUGAUUUUCCAAAUUGGUAAUCAUUAUUUUGCAACAUGUACAAUUUUCCCAUGUCAGAAGAUGUAUUUGAGACUAAAUCGAGCAUUACAAUAAAAUAAUGAAGAACUUUAUGGCAAUCAAGCUUCCAGUCCAAAGUGAAAAGGUUAGAACGAAUAGCUUACUCGACAUCUAUGCUGUCCAGAAGCAUCAAUCCAAAUAAUGCGAACAAAUGCAACACCCUUAACAGGAGCAGUUAAGUCCAACUUCAUAGAGUAGGGGAGUGCAAUGUCAUUAGAAUCAAAAGAUUCUGAAACAGUCUUAAUAUUGUAUAACUGUGUUGCAUUUUCAGAAAAUAUGUCUUUAGCAGCUUGAAGAGCUUCCGGAAUUGAAAUAUCUCCAUCAGUGCAAGCAUCACGCAGAACAGAGAACACAACCUCACGUGCUUUUUUAGCACCUGAUAAGGCAUUCAUCAAGUUCAGCAACCUGGUUGUAAGAUAAAAUGGCACCAAGUAGCAAUAAUAAAGGGAGUAUGGGGAUGUUAAAGGUUUAUGCAUGCGUAACUAUUACUUGCCUGAGUUGAUUUGAUUGGUAUAUUUUGGUAGAAUCAAAGACAUAUUUAGAGUUUCAUUGGAGUAAUAGGAUUCUUGUAGGAGCACUACUACCAUUUUAAUUAUGAUGGUUCAGUGAAAAACUGAAAUGUCUUAACGAACUUCUAGGACUCAUGUCUGGAAGAUGGGAAUGUAAGAUCCUUGUGUUUGACACCACAUUUGGAGUCACUGGCUACAAGCCUGUCCAUAGAAAGAGAUAUUGCAAGAGCAACCUAAUCUUCCAUCAUUUGUGAACUAGAGGCUGUACUCUAUCUUUUGUAAACAAACAAUCUUACGACUCAACAAUUAAAUAUUAAUCCUCACAAAUAAUUUUAAUUUGCUGAAGAUAGCGCCCUUGAAUACAUUUCAUAGUUCAAGAUCCCUCCGAGCUAGAUCCAAAGAACUGACAGAAUGUAAAUGGAGUUUAAUCUUUAAAUUCAUUUUGCCAAAUUGAUUCCAUAACUGAAGUUAUCAUACUAAAAUAUGCUCAUAAACAUUCUCAAGAGGUCAUUUCAGCGUGACUAGAUAGAUAUCAUUCAAAUAACUUUAGCCCCACUUGCAUCUUUAUUUCAACCCUUUUGCAUUAGCCACAAUUAUCAAGAAUCAAACCAGUGUGCACUCCUCCUUGGUUCACAUAAAGAUGAUAUGUUACGCAUUAACCAAGCAUAAAGUGCAUAAACAAUUUUUCACGCAAAACCGAUCUAGACGUCAUUGAACUGAUGUUUAUCAAGUAUGUACUUGAGUUAGCAAGAAAACUAGCAUUAAAUUAAAGUGAUAAAGAGUAUGAGAUGGGUCAAACCAACCUAGAUAGAAGGUCUCUGGAAAACCACAGCCAUCAGUGCUGAACAUUACCUGCCAAUUGCCAUUCAUGGUUUGGUAUUAGGAAAAGACUUUUAACAAGUGAAUUUUUAUACCAAGGUGACUAUUAAAAUGGGACCUUCAUUUUUUUCUUAAAGCAGAAACGUUAAAAUAUUUAAUUCAAUUCUAGAGGUCAGAUUUCAUAUUGCAAAGAAUAAUUCUUAAAACAAAUCCUAGAAUCUACGAUGUUCACCUUCUUUAUUGGUGCUAAAUCCAAGAGCUCUUUGACUGAGGAAACCAUCCCAUGAAAGCUAAGUUUUGGAACUGCCAGCCCAAAGUCCAGAUACACCUGCAGUUGAAGGUGACAAUUUCAAGACAAAACAGUGGUUAAAAUGACAAGACCUCGUGUCAGACUCCAGAGUAUACACAUAACAACUUCCAGAGCUUACCUGAGAGUACACAGAGGCCAGAUAUGAUGCUUCUUUGGAGAAAGGAUAUGAUGCAUGUAAAAGAACAAUUUUACACUUGCUGAAUCUACUAUCCUCGAGAAUAUUGCGAAGAUGAAGGGGAUUGGAUAGCCUUAAAUCUAGAUCUUUAUCUCCGAAACUACAGGGAGCAGAAAAAACAAUUUGUAACUUGUUUUCAACUACUAAACAGUAUUAUGGAAAAAUAUUAAUAACAUGACAAAUUGGGAGAUUAUCAGAAAGUCAAAGAUUUAGUAUCAAUUGAAAUCUUGAACUAGUACCAGGAGAGUUCCAAACCGACUUGCAUUGAAGUGAAACAAUUAUCUAGUGUAAGAGUUGAAACCACUAAACUUCGAUUUAAUUUGAAACGACUAUUACCCUGUGUGAAUCUGCAUUGGCAAGCCAAAACAUUGGGCAACCUCCAAUGCAUAGAUGAAGAUGUGAUCAAUGAAGUUUUUAUUUGUGAUGCGGAAAGGCUUUCCAGCUGGAAAUAUGGACUAUCAGGAUAUCAUGCACUGUCAGGCACUAUCAUAAAUCUCUCUAUAUAAAAAAAUACCUCGUAAAACGUCAUUAAGGCCCUCUUCGGCAUCCUUCUUUGAAACGUUUGUGUCAAUUUCAAGUCCACUACGGUAUGCAGCUAUACUUUUAAACCCAACGAUUCUAUCAGCAUGUGUAAUGACUGAUAAGGAAAUCAACAGGAACGUGGCAAUUCUUUCCACAAGCCCAAAUGCAUUUAAGCAUAUACUGAGAAAACAAAAGGAUAUGAUUUCAGGUUAUCUGUGAAUUGUUCUGUAAAAGAGUCCAAUGUCCAUGUAAUUCCACCUGGUCUUUCCUAAUCAAGAUUUCAAAGAAAAACAAAAAAUAAAAUAUAAGAACAAAGUCAAAGGUAAAGAAACAGUAAGAAUAAAGCUAAUGGAACCGCAUACAAUGGAUAAACAAGUUUAUCAAAUAAACAACUAGUAUCUCAGUUUAGGUGAUGCCAGAAAACUAUUCAAACUCAAAAGGAAAGGAUUAAUAUGAACAAAAUAACGUAUGAGGACAUUCUGAUAGAAACAAAUUUUCCCAUACACAUUGUUUACUGAAUCAAGAGUUGUAAUAAAAAAAAAUAUAAACGUUAGUAAUUCAGAUGACACUAGUCUAUCUUUUAGCUUCUUACCCACAAAGAUUUACCCUAAUUGACCUAAGAAACAUAGGAUAGCGAAAAUACAGAUUAGUGCAAUAUGAACCAAACAAGUACAUAACUUCUCACCAUAUUAAGGAUCUUCUCAGCCACGUGUUCAAUUCUUAAUAUUCUACCAACGUAUGGUACAAAUUCCUUGUGCCACUCAAUUUCGUGCAUUUUGUCUAGCUCAAGUCCAUCAUCAAUGAAUAUGGCUGAGAUUUUAGCAGCUUUGAGGCACUUAGCAGUUACUGAUUCCACUCCAGAGAUGGACCGGUAUUCUUGAACAGCAUCCAAUGAUACGUCGGAACCAUACAGUUUUGCAAUUUCUUUCAAGCUUCUCUAAAAAUAUAAACAAGUGAACUCUUUAGAAAUUUCUCAACAAAAUCAGUUGUACAAAAAGUAUAUUAGGAAAACUACAAUUAACAGUUACAAAUCAUUGUGUUUUACUUCUAGCGCAUUAAUAAGUUCCUUGUCUACCAAUUAUAUUGGCUGGAAGAGUACAAUCAUCCUGCUCUUUGGUUGCAUUUCCACCAAAUUUAUCCAUCAUUAAUUUGAACCUGGAUUCGUUAAUUGUGAAAUUGUAUUAACAACUAUUUGAUUAAUAUUCAUUCCUUUAACUCUGACCAUUAAUAAUCAUCCAUUUAAGCCAUACCAUGUACAAGUUAACUGUGAAAUUGAAAAAUCAAAAGAUAUGGCUCCUAGCUGUAAACCUUUCUUUGAUUCAUUGCCAUGUACAACGGUUCUUUUUGUGUAUACUUGGAGGACAGGAUGAAUGUGACAAAAUAAUAAAGAAAUCAUUCAAAACUGAAUAUUAUUUCGCCAAAUGAAAUAGCAUUUCAUUCAUAUCUGAAAACCAAAGCAUGGCUGCUUCUACACUUGAAUCCAAGUCCAUGUGAACAGAAAUAUCAUGUAUGCAAGCCAUGGUUAUGAACACAUAAAAUUAAUAUCAUAUAAUCCUCCACUUUUGCACACGUUUCAACAUGAUCUCAAUUCUCAGCAGAUCCAUAACCUCCAAUUGUUUCCCUAACCUCUUUCUUUUAGGGUAGGCAUCAAUACAUAUAAAGUUUGUCUAAGUUAAAAGAUAAUAAAUCAUACGAAUAGGAAUAAACCGGACCACCGGUUCGUACAUGGUGCAAAAAAAUUUGUGAAGUGAACGAAAGAGUUGAAGUCAUAUCUGAAACAGAGGGAUCGCAAGUUCGAUGAACAAAUACAGUACUGCUUAUAAGUUCACAAGUACUUUUACCUUGAAAUUGAUGGUGUGUGGUACAUCGGAUAAGGCAUCGCCGGUGGCCUCGGAAAAGCAGUUCAGGAAAGGGAACGUGGAGUCGACCGCCACAAUGUUGUGCGCGUGGGCGUCCACUAGCGCCGCCGUUUCCACCGCCGCCUUCAACGACGCAAAUCUAUCCAUGCUCUCUCUCUCUCUCUCUGACCUCUCUCCUUGAAGUUCUUCAAUUCUCUUCUAUCAGCAAGGGUUUGAAUGAGCUGGAUGAGGGUUUAUGCGGCGUGAACGUGCAAUUAUCUAUAUGGCAAGCAUGAUCUUUGAGUUUGAAGAUCUCUUCGGUCAAUGCUCAUUUAUUAGCAUGUUCAUUAAUCACGAAUUUAAGUGAGUAUUAUUAGGCAAUAUCUUGAGUUUGAAGAUCUCUAAGGUUAAUGGUCAUUUAUUAGCAUGAUCGAUGAUUUUCUAAUGCAUUAAUUACGAAUUUAAGUGCGUAUUAGGCAAUAUGACAAAUUACGACCACACCCCUAAGGUAAGGUCAACUUACGAAAAAACCCCUCAGAUUUGCAUAAUUACAAGCACCCCCUCAACUAUGUAUUAUAUUACAAAAAAACCCUCGUGUUUGCAUAAUUACAAGCAUCCCCUCAACUAUGUAUUAUUUUAUGAAAAACCCUUAAUGUUGAUAAAUUUAGGGACGUUUAUUCGGUAAAACUGUACAAAAACUACGAGGUACGCCAAAAUUUCAUACAGUUUAGCGUUUGGUUCUAUAAAUAACCGAAUUACCAAAAUUUUAUUAAAAAUAUUUAAAAUUUUGACUUUAUUAAUUUUAGUUAUAUAUAUAUAUAUAUAUAUAUAUAUAUAUAUAUAUAUAUAUAUAUACAUAAAAGACUGAAUACCACACUGAAUUAACGGUUCGGUAAUCGGCAUGUAAGAAUUAUCGUUUAGUUCGAUCCGAUAGGUUUACUAGCCGGAUAAACACCACUAGGUAAAUUUGACAUCGCAAGGGUGAACGCGUAUGACAAUAUAUAUGAACUUAAUAUCUUCAUUUUUGGCGAAAGUGUAAGUGGCCUCGGCUGUUGUGGUGAGGCGAACGGUCUACCUUGGUCUUCCACGACCUUCUAUGAUCAUUCCCUACCCGUCCCUUUUAUUAUUUGGGCCACCUGUGUUUGCCCGUAUUCUUAACGUUUUGUUAGUUAGCUAUUGUCUUUUGUUUGUCAACUGCUAUUAUUAGCCAUAUGUUGGGCAGUAGCAAUUUGAGCAAAACUCAUUAUGUACUUCUUAAAUAUUGUUUUAUAAACAGGUAGGGGGUCAAGCCUAACCCCCCACCCUCAUCGGGUGUCGUUCUCUUAAAAAAAAAAAAAAAAAAACUUAAUAUCUUCAUUUUUUGCAUAUAAUAUUUUUCUUAAUUUUUUUCACUUAGAACAUGAUUUUUUUCUUUUAGUAUUUUUGCAUUAUUAUAUAAAUAUGUUUUUUCUUAACUUUUUUUUUAUAUAAUAUUGAAAAUGUGAAGAAGAAAAACAUAUAUUUUCUUUUUAAUCCAUAGACACUCGUAGGAACACAUAGUCGUGAAUUUGAACUUACACAAUUGAAAACUCUAACUCCCUAUUUGAACCCUAGCCCGAAAUCAGCCAUGAACAUUCACAAUAAAUCAUAGUCCACCAUAGUCAUCCACAUCCAAAACUAAAAUCUUAGGUCACACUCAUCCACUGCGGAACUUUGAUAGGGCAUGGGGGGCCGUUGACCCCCCAAGAAAAAAAAAAAAAUCUUUUAUAUAUUUGGCACUGAAUUUUUUGAAUAUUACUUUUGGCCCCCCAAAGUUUUUGUAAAUAUUUAUCUUGACCCAUUAAUUUUUUUGUUUUUUCUCCAAAAUAUUAUAUAAAUUAUAGAUGAAUAUAUCAUAUUUAAUAUAAAAUAUAGAAUAAGAUGGUUAAAACUUGUAUUAUUUUAAAUAAAAUUUAUGAAUAUUACUUAUUUUUGAAUUUUUUUUAUCUAACGCCUUCAAAAAAAAAAUGAGAUCGUGCCAUGAAUCUCCGAAAUAUUAAGUGCAGCAUAUUAUUAGAAUAAUUUGAAUUAAUUUAGAAUUUUUUGUGAUGAUUAAAAUAUGAUAUAUAUAUAUAUAUAUAUAUAUAUAUAUAUAUAUAUAUAUAUAUAUAUUAAUUAAAAAUUAGUUAUAUAAACUUAUUUUUUGCAAUGGUUUGUGCACCUAAAUUUUUUUUCGGGGCGCUGCCCCGAACCACAAAAUUUUAGUUAGCCCCCUUACAUUUUGACCCUGGUUUCACCCCUGCACUCAUCCACACCGACCCGGAAAAAAAAAAAAAAAAAAAGAAGAAAGAAAAAAUAUAAGCAUUACCCCGUCACCUUUUAAGUUACUUAGAUAAUUUUGUUUUAUAUUAAGUGACUUGAGAGUUUCAAUUGUAGACAAAUUUUUUUUCCUCCAAACAUUAAUGAUAAUUUUAUUAAAAAUAUUUUAAAAAUAUUGUACUUACAUAUAUAAAAUACUCAUGAUGUAUUGUAUUGUCACUAUUUCAUAAACUUUUAUAUUGAGGUUAUGUAUGUCUUUUUCAUAUUAUCAUCGAUUAUUUUUUUUAAAUUUAAAUGAUUAGAAGGGGGUAAGUGUAACAUUUCAUAGUUGAAGUGGGUAAGUGUCACACACCCCAUAAUUCAAGGGGGACAAGUAUAUUUAACCCAAUAAGUAAUAAUGAGAAGUUGAAAAACACAAAUAGGUAAUUUUAUUAAAUAAAAGUUUUUUCUUCAAAAAUCAAAAUUAUUAAAUAAUUUUGUUUAAUUAUUGUGCACUGGCAUAAAUAAAUAAAUAGAUAUGAUGUAAAAAAGGAAAGACACACACAGACACAACACAGUUGAUACUUGAUAUAUUACGCUAAUUAAAUUAGCUGUCACUACGUUGUCUAUUUCCUUUCCUUUUUAUUUUUAUGUGUUAUUUUUCUCCCCUUUCCGAUCUCCGUCUUCUCCGAACGGUUCCCGUUGAUGGCUUCUUCCAGUUCCGGCAAUUCCAUACCGGCCCCAGGUAUCAUCCACCACCACACCACCACCACCACCACAUUAUUAAGCUCAAUUCGAUUAACGUUAAUCGGUCUAAUUUUGUAUUGUCUUGUGGGUAUCUCGAUUUUUUUCAGAGGCAGUUCAAGUUCUCGUCUCUUCGUUGGCAGAUGAUUCUCCCAUGGUCAGAGAAGCCUCGACUGCUACUCUUAAAGACAUAGCUCAUCUGUAAGUGUACAAUUCUUGCCCGUUUUGUUUUAUUGGCUGUAAUUUUCCGCACAUGGAUAGAUGUAUGAGAAAUCGAAUUUGUACUCUAAAUUGGGUGAAUUCUGCUUGGGAACCGUGAAUUUUUGUUUUAUUUGAUUUCCACGUCCACAUUGAAUGAAUUGUUGAAACAUUCCCAUGGUUCUGGAAUUAUAUAGAUUUUAUUGUACAUUGAUCGGAUUAUUGUGUUUCUAGGAACCCACUUCUGGUUCUCGAUUGUUGUUCAACUGUGUCGCGUGGUGGCCGAAGGGUAUGUUGUGCUUCUUGUUAUUGCUUAAAAUACUAACAUAUCAGAAUAAGAAUAAGGUAAUAAGAGAAUUCGUAUUACAUGUGGGAAUUUCAGAGAUACGGGAACAUAGCUGGAUUAUUUCAAGUUAUGUCUGUGGCAAUUCGAGCAUUGGAUAAAGAUGAUGUUGAUCCCCAUUAUAUGGCAAAGCUUGCCAAAAUAGCUGCUUCUGAGAUCAUCUCAACCAAGGUACCAUCUGAUUUGUAACACUGGAAUGUGAUUGUGGUAAAUAGUAUAUACUAUUCUAUAUAUGGUUUAUAUACAUGAUUACUAGUUCAAGUAUAUUAACCAAGAAACUAAAGGGAAAGAGUUACACUCAUGAAUGCAUGUUGGAGAAUAUAUCAUUGCAACCUUGUCAAGAAAAGCAUGUCGGAAAAUAUAUAAUUGCAGGUUGCAACAUUGUCAAUCUUAAACUUUCAUCUGCGACUGCACCUUCAAUUUUAUAUUGCCGUUUUUACUCGAUGAAUUCGAGACUUUAUAUUUUUACUUAUAUUUUUGUUAUUCCCACAAAACGUGGUAGAAUGAACUCACAUUAACUAUAAAUUAAAAUAGGUUGAUUUUAUUGAUAGUCUCAUGGAGAUGCUGUUUGGUGUGAUGCCUCGUUAGUUUCUUUGCUAGGUUGAAUUGCUUAUUUGUCUGAACAUUUAUCUUGAAUUUUUACUGUUCAUUAAUAUUUCUCAGUUAUUACCGCCUUUAUGGUGAUACGAAUUUAGUGAGUGUAGUCUGCUAGUUAAUUAUAUACUAUAUACAAAUAUGGGUAUUCUGAUUGUUGUUUUCAUUGUUAGUAUUGGAGAUAUUAAUAUUAAAUGAUACAUUUCACUAAUAGCUUAAGCUUUUGGUUGAGGUGGUCAUUCAACAUAGUAUCAGAGCUAGGCCAAAUGAAAGGUCCUGAGUUCGAAUUGGUUCUAUUUGACGUUUUUUUGUCCCGCCUCGUCCCUUUUCAUUAUCCUCUGUUCUAAUUUCAUUAUUUUUUAACUAAAGGUAUUUCAUUAUAUAUAGUUAUUUUCUCAUUGUUUUUAUCGUUUAGACACUAUUUCAUAAUGUGUUAAACUUUCCUUCCCGUAGGAACUCAACGCUGAUUGGCAAAGGGCUGCAUCUUCUGUCCUUGUGGCAUUAGGUUUACAUCUGCCCGACCUUGUAAGUUCCUUCAUUGAAUUCUUUACACAAUCUUGAUUUGAUUGAUUGACGAAUAAAAUGCUCUAUAAGCAACAGUAAUCUCGAAUUUUGGAAGUCUAGAUUCAAAGCUGCAUCAUCUAAACUAGUACUCAUUAGACAUAAUAUAUAUUAAGCUUAUUAUAGCUUUGACACGAAUUCUUUGAUCUGAUGAUAGUAUCUUUACCGGCAUGAAUGAUCUUCAUAAUGUAACAUGUUGACUGUUGUGGUAUGAUAACUUAUACCAUAUCUGUUGGGGCUGGGACUGGGUUGGUUUUUAUCCACCAACCGAUCCAUUACCGACCAUAUUUUUAGGCGGAUAAUCAAUUUUUAACCCACCCAUUGGAUCGGGUCGAAAAUUUCAACCAACCCAUCUAUAAUGGGUUUGUUGGUGGUUUCUAUAUUAUCAAAAGUUGGUUGACCGAUAAUUAUCCAACUAUAUUAUUAAAUAUUUUAUUAAAAAUAUAAAUUAAAGGCCGUGUUUUCUUAAGCAGUUAUUGAAAUUAUCAAAAUAAUUAGUAUUUUAAAUUUUAAGAACAAUUAACAAAGGGAAAAAAAAAUUGACAUAAAUCUUCCACCAGUUUCUUUAUGCCCAAGCUUAAACAAAAAGCCCACAAAACUCCACUAAAUUUCUUGUGCCUGUUUGAAAUUACUUUGAAUUUCCUAAUUAUAUUUUUUCGUUAAAUUGUUAUUAAUUAUUUUGAACUGACAAAUGAUGAUUGCACCGUGGCAUUGCACAAAAUGUGGAUAUUUUUAAUCCAAAAUUUGAAUUUUUUUAAGUGAACUUGGGGGCGGAUAUAAACCAUCAACCGACCCAUUCCGGAACCAAAUGCUCGGCUGUCAACCAUCAACCGAUCCACAAAGGUUGGGUCGGCAACGGUUUUCAAAUUUGAGCAAAAAUGGUUUGACGGAUGGGUCGGUUUUUAGGCUGGUAAUCGACCCAACCCAGUCCCAGCCCUAAUAUCUGUUAUGUUUUCUUGAGCUCCACUUAUAUGCAAAAAAUUGAUAGCAGUUACUAUGCAGGAUUCACCAGUAACCUUGACUUAGUUGAUGAAACAAAUAUUCACUAGAGUUAUGUAUGGUGCAGAGACUCAAGCAUGCAUUUAAAUUUUAUUUUUUAACUCUUUUAGAUGAUGGAUGAAAUACUACUUCAUCUCUCUGGAUCAAAUUCAGCACUUCCAGCUAUGGUUCAAAUACUUGCAGAUUUUGCUUCAUCUGAUGGUAGGUUAUAAUCUUUAGUUCUGACUCUUGACUUUGACUUAAACAGUCUAGUUUUCGAUUUCUGAUUUUUGUUUCCUGGUUGAUCGAUGUUUUUUUUUGUGGUAUACAAAGCUGUUCAGUUCACUGCACGGCUCAAAAGUGUACUUACAAGAGUUCUGCCGAUUCUUGGGAAUGUAAAGGACAUCCACCGACCAAUCUUUGCCAAUGGUAUCUUAUUUCUGGUUAUAUUUAUGCUCUUGUUAUGUACCUUAUAGUGUUCGAGUUAUUGUUCGAAAUGAUGCAUUAUUCUAAUGACAUUGAUUACGUAUAGGCUGCUAAUUUUACUGAAACAUGGAUCAUUUUCUAUAUGAGGAGAGCCAAAUUAAUAUAGCCAAGAUAAUUAGGGUUAGAUCAUCUAUUAAGACAACGGUAAUAACUAAAAAGAGAAUUAGUUGGAAGGGUAAUUUAGUCCUAUUAGUCAUCUUCUCCUAACAUCAAUCCAUAGUUAUUAAUUAUCUUUCUUAAUACGGUGCCCAAACCGUAAACUAGAAUUAUUUUGAAGGAGGGAGUAUCUGUUUUGUAAAAUUAUACGGCGUCUUUGGUAGUGUAGAUAAUAAAUAAUUUAUGCAAGGACCUAACUCUGAUUGUUCUAUAUGCAUUAUUUUAUAUUAAGUCCAUUUUUUUUUUGCAUUCCACUAUACAUUGAAUACAAUUAUUGUUUGGCAGUUGGUAGUAAUGCCGUUGGUCUCAUUAUCUUUGGCUGUUGGUAGUAAUGUGAUAAAGCAUUCUAUGCAGAUCAUUACUAUUAUACUUAGAUUGAGGAUUUUUUUUUCUUUCCCUUUUCCAGCAUUCAAGUCCUGGUGUCAGGCCUGUUGGCAAUAUAGUGUUGAUUUCCCACUGUACACUGCUCUUGACGGUGAUGUCAUGUAAGACUAGUUUAUUUGCUUCUUCUUGCAUGAUUCUAAUUUUCUGCAGAUGAUUAUUUUGGAUAUUGAUGAGCCAUUUGGGGCAGGUCUUUCCUGAAUUCCGCAUUUGAGCUUCUGUUGAGAGUUUGGGCAACUUCACGGGAUCUCAAGGUUUGUAUUUGUAGAGUCAUGUUUGCUCUGUAUUCAUUUUUCCUUCUUCUGGUCUAUGUAUUAAAGGUUUCUAUAUUUUGCUUGCUGCACAAUGAACGAAAGGAGAUUCUCAGUGUCUGGUUUUUAUUAUCAUUUUUAUGAUAUAACUCGCGGAUAACUUACUUCUGUAUGCUUUUGAGUUUGUCACAUUCUGCACAUACUUUUGGGAAUUUCCUUAUCAGAAGAUUGAUAAACCGAAUUCAUGUAUUGGAUAAUUGUUGAUUUUAAUAUCUUUUGAGUCUAAAAGUGGUAUAGAUUAUUAGUUGGCACUUGGCAGUCUUUUAAACAUCUUCGACGAAAGAUCUGCAACCGUCUAAAGGAUGAUGAAAAUAAAUCUUUUGCCAUUAUUAGCUCGUCUUGGCCUCUCUAGAUUAAGUCCCUUUUACCUCAUUAAUGUAUUGGGAUCACUAUAUCCUGACGUAGUUGACAAUUUCCUGCAACUUAUACUGUCACAAAUUGGCAUAUGACUUAUGGCCUUGUGGUUUCAAGGGUUGACUUGGUCUAAUAUCAACAAGAUUUGCACAUUAUUACUAGGUAUCAUCUUCAGUGUUACCUGAAAUAUAAGGACACAAUGUAUGCUAGACGGAAAAGUUAGCUCUUUCACGCCUAAAUUGCUAAAGGACACAUGAUCUGGAUGGUCUUGGAAAAAUAGAAGUUCUCUUCCUUCUCUGUAUUUGUAUGUGUAUAAGCUGUUUAUAGUUAACCUUAUUUGGAAUAUCAGUUUUUUUCAAGGAUGUAGUUUCUUUUGUUUCUUUAGGUCCGCGUAUCUACUGUUGAGGCUUUAGGCCAGAUGGUUGGUCUUGUAACUCGGACGCAACUGAAGUCAGCUUUACCAAGACUUGUGCCCACUAUUCUGGAAUUGUAAGCCGUUAGCUUGAUUUGUUACUAUUUGUAUCUUUACAGUUCACUAGUAAUAUGUGAUUAUCCUGAAGUUUACCCUACCCCUCUGUUCAUAGUUAAAACCAUUUUGUCAUGCCGAGGCUGGCCUUUUACUUAUUUGAGGUAGAAUAUUUUUUUUUAAUCAAGUAGGCUUUGAUUAGGCGUUGGUUUUUGCCUUUUCUUUUACACAAUGCAGGUAUAAGAAAGAUCAUGAUGCUGCCUUUGUGGCUUCAUGUAGCCUCCAUAAUCUAUUGAAUGCUUCCUUACUUUCAGAAAGUGGUCCGCCUUUGAUGGACUUUGAGGUCAGUGAAUAUCAUUCGAAUCUAUUGGAGUGCGUUUGGAUUGAGGGAUUUGGAGGGGGGUUUGAUUUGGGGAAGGGAUUUGAAAUGACUCCAAUUUGGAGUCAUUUUAAAUCCACCCCAAUUGCUCCAAAAGCAACUAAAAAGGAGGUGUGUGGAUUUGAAAUUCAUCCCCAAAUCCCUCAAUCCAAACAAGUCCGAGGGAUUUGUUAUUAUGGAUUUGAAAUCCCUCCUCCAAAUCCCUCUAUCCAAAUGGACCCUUGGUGUUGAAGCGUGCUUUUGUUUAUAUUCUAGAUGUCAAAUAUUACAUCUUAGAAGAUUGUGAUUAUUUUCUUUCCUCUUCGGGCUUUCUACGAGUGUUGAGUUGUGGUUAUAUUAUAUAUAUAUAUAUAUAUAUAUAUAUAUAUAUAUAUAUGAAGCAAAUGGAUUUCAGGUUUUUCUCUGGACUCAUGCUUGCACAAAUAUGAAAUGAUGCGAAUUAGCAAAUGUUUGGGAGGGCCGAGGGGAGCGGGGUUCGAAUGAAAUAAUUCACUUGACUAAUGGUAGAAAUGCAAUUCACGCAUCUUUAAAGCAUCAUAUAAAACUCCUUAAAAUUUUGAUUUGAGUGAAAUAAAAAUGGAAUUUACAGAUUUUACUUUUCGAUUAACUCAACUUCAUUGUCAUGUUCUUAAAAGGAAAAUUCUGUUAUUACAUGAUGGAGUUUCUGCAUAGGCAAUUGCAAUGUAUGAGUUGAAUGUUCAUGCAUGCAAAACACGUAGAGGUGUAGGUUUGAUUAUCAGUAGGAUUCAAUGUUGUGAUUGUUGUUCAAUUUUGUCCUCUAUCCUCCAAGAUGUCAUUCGUUAUAUUAGUCAUUAAUUUGCAGGACCUCACUGUCAUAUUAUCAACGCUUCUUCCCGUGGUUUGCAUUCAUAAUGACAGCAAGCAACAUUCAGAUUUUUCAGUGGGACUAAAGGUAGCACUUUUUUGUGCUGUCCAUGCUUUCUGAAGUCAUAUUUGGCAUGUGAUUAUAAUCAAAUUUUUUCUUGUUUUCUCAAUUGCAGACCUACAACGAAGUUCAACAUUGCUUUCUCACAGUUGGCCAGGUGUACCCAGAAGAUAUGUUCGUUUUCCUUCUCCAUGUGGGUAAACUUGCCAAAAACUUAUUUCUAAUGAAAAUUCUACCAAAUGUUUUACCUGUAAAAAUAUAAAGUUCACCAACAAAAACCUGAGAAAAAUGAAAAAGGAAAAUACAAUAUAUAUUGAAAAAACUUUUGGGGUUUUACUGCCUUAUCUAUCUGAUACGUGAAUAUGUUCCAGAAAUGCAGGUUGAAAGAAGAACCUCUAACAUUUGGUGCACUUUCUGUGUUAAAACAUCUUUUACCUAGGUUGGUCUUUCCCCUCCUCUAAAUGUUGAGUAUUUCACCAAUAUAUGUUCUUAUUAAGUUUUUCUGAAGGUUGUCUGAAGCUUGGCAUGCUAAAAGGCCUCUGCUAGUUGAAUCAGUGAAAAAUUUAUUAGAUGAGAAUAAUUUGGCUGUCUGCAAGGCACUUUCUGAGGUACUGUGUCAUUGGCAAAAUACUCAUUGUUUUAUACAAAUUAUCAGGUGUUUGUUAAUAUUUAUGUUUUAAUGAUUGUGUCUGAUUCUAGUUAAUCGUUGUUAUGGCGUCCCACUGUUACUUGGUUGGCCCACCAGGAGAGUUAUUUGUAGAGUACUUGGUACGUCACUGUGCAGUGAUAGAUUUGGAUAAGGACUUAAGGAGUUCAAAGGAAUUGAGGUCGAGUGGCUAUUUCUAUCCUUUCCAGCACAAGAAAUCAGAGGUUUGACCUUUUUCUUUAGAAUGUGUUGCAUUUGUUGGACUAUAUGCUGUGAAUGCGGUAUACUGCUGCAUAGAAUCUAAUAAUAAUAUCUAUCAUGCUGUAUUUAUAUUGUCAAAGCCUAGCGCAUAGUAAUAUUAUAUUGCGUGUGUGUGAGCGGCUAUAUUCUAACUAGCGUAGAUAGAAAUGGCAUGCAUACAGUGACUUGUAUUUUUAGCCCAUUCUAUCAUAAAUUCACCAUAUAUUAACCACCACAUGACUUGUACUUUAUCAGUGUUCAAAUUUGUGAUUUCUUCUGAACUAUGGGUCUUAUGUUUGGUUUUAAAUGAAUUAUAUAGAACCACUUUAACAACACAAAUGGAAUCAAGAAUACUCUCAACCCGAACCGAUAAUGGUACUAGUGGCAGUUGUCCAAAUAUAAGUUUUCUGAGCUGUUUAUUUUUUGAUGAUCUUUUGGUAGGUGUUCAAUAUUUUUCAGAGAUUUUAUCUUUAUAAUGACGAACACAUCAUCGGUUAAUGAAAUUCUCAUCUUUGUGAUAGAAAUAAAAUAUGAAUGUCCUGUUCACAACAUAUAUUAUCCAUUAAAGUUAGGGGCAUGGAAGGAUAAAGUUCUUCCUUGUAAGUUCCAGGAUUUUUUCAUGUAACCAUUUUAUGUUCUUUCAAUUAAGCAUGUUCUUUUUGCAUAUUAUUCUUUUAAACUCUCAUAUCAUUCGCAGGUAAACAUUGGAGGUGUUUGUCCAACAGAUUUACGUGAAAUCUGUGAAAAAGGUCUUCUUUUAAUAACUGUCACCAUUCCUGAAAUGGAGGUAUGUCAAUGCCUUUUGUCUUAACCCCUUUGCGUGUGUUCUCGUGUUUCUCUUUUGCUGGUUACAGUCUGUUGGUUUUAUUGUAAUAAUAUUUUCUCAAUAUUUCCAGCAUGUGCUCUGGCCAUUUUUGUUGAAAAUGAUCAUACCGCGAAUUUACACUGAUGCAGUUGCCACGGUAGGUGAUAUACUGUGUGUAUGUGUAACAUGACAUGCUACUUUACCCGUACGUCUCUAUUAUCUUCUUAACGUAUUUUCUGUCUGCUGGAAUAUGAGUUCCAUUCUGCCAUGAAUAUCUGGAGUUGGUAAAACUGAUUUUUUUCUUUUCUUAGUGAUCUAACUACUUAUAUAGGUUUGCAGGUGUAUCUCAGAAUUAUGCAGACAUAAACAUACUCAAAGUGAUACAAUUCUUUCUGAUUGUAAAGCCCGUUUUGAUGUUCCUAAUCCUGAGGUUUGAUAUCUUCUUUUUUAUGUCCUUGUGUAUUUGAUCUCUGAUAGAAAUGUAUUACCAAACGGCUUUCCCAUAAUUGAAAUUCAGGAUCUUUUUGCACGGCUUGUGGUGCUUCUCCACAAUCCUUUGGCGAGGGAGCAGCUCGUGCCUCAGAUUUUAACUGUAAGUGUCUUUACUGCUAGCAGCAAAAUUUAGAUAUUAAAUUCAUUGGCAACUGAAUCAUGUAGCUUUAUAGGACUUCUAAUUAUUACAAGACUUGGAUUUAAUUAGAUUGAAUGAUGUGGGAAUUAGCCUUUUGAUCUGUAUCCUUAAUUUUCAACCAACAAGUAUUGUGAUGAAUAUCAUAUGUCUCCAUAGUUUGACUUCCGAUGCACACAAUGGUGCAUUUCCUACUUCUGUUAUGACUUGAUUUGUGUUGUAAUUCAGAAAAAAAACAUCUUAUAUAUUCUUAUCGAGCAGAGCCUGCAGACUAUAUUCAGUUUAAGUUGUUUUGUUAAGCAUUUAUAAUGAAGUCAGGGUUUGAAAGGUGGCUAGUGUUUAGCAAGAAAAACCUCAUUUAUACUAUAUGUGGUAAUUUAUCAAGAUCAGCUACCCAAGAAAAGUUAUAAUUUAAACUGUGAGUGUCUUUUUAGCAGAGUAACUAUUAGAAUGGAAUCAAGGCAAUAUAAACUUACUGACAGCAAAACUGUUUUGACUUCUUAUAUGUUGUUUUUGCAGGUUCUGCUGCACUUAGCUUCUCUAUUUCCCAAGAAUAUCGUCGUAUUUUGGCAAGAUGAGGUAUACAAGGUUGAUGAUAGAGUUGAUUUUUAGUAUUAAGAGUUGAUUAUUUAUGUGGGAAGGCUUUACGAUCAUGCUUUGUGGUUAUUAUUUACUAUAUAAAUAUAUUUUCCAUGUGUCAGUUAGUUGCAUUUGCGCUUGGAUUGAUAUUAAUGAAUUGUGGGGUCAAAAUAAUGGGUAGAGUUUGGGGCGUGCAUGUAGUGGGAUUAACUAUCAUCAAGGUUGAGUAGCAUCAGAUACGAUCUUGAAGCAAAAUCAAGAUGGCCUUAUUGUUUAGAGAGUAUUGGUGUUUCUUAUUUCGUUGGAGUUCAUGGUGGCUGGUGCCUUGUUGUUGUUGGAUAAUCCUUAACUUUGUUGUCUUGUGGUAAUUAAAUCAUAUCUGAUUCAGCAUUUUAGACACAUCUUUAUAAUGUUUUGAGUAUUUUGGCGUAAUGGCAUGUUCUUUAUUUUUGUUAAUGUUGUUACCUUAAAGUGUUCUUAUAAAUAUUAAACUAUGAGUCAGGUUCUGCACUCACCGUACAAGAUAGACACAAAAUGACAGUUCUGUUCUAAUUGUUUGUCUUCUUCUGUAAGCUCUAGAUUCCCAAAAUGAAAGCUUAUGUAAGUGAUCCGGAAGACCUAAAGCAAGAUCCAUCAUAUCAGGAGACAUGGGAUGACAUGGUUAUUAAUGUAAGCUCUACUAUUCUUGUUAAUUAUCUUUAAUACGGACCAGGCCACAUUGUCUACUUGAGAAAACUGUUGUGAAUUAACACAGUGAGACUCUUUAAUCUUCUAAAAUCAUGUUCCUUUCUCUCAUUGCUCAAGCGCUCAACAAGUCUUUUGUUAACAGUGAUAAAAUUACUUGAGUUGUACUAUGCUUAUAUCUCUACUAUUGACUGGGAACGGAAAGGGAAGGCUAUUCUCUGUGCAGGCCACUUAUAUACUCUUUAUUUGUGGCCAACAGUUUGUUGCAGAAUCAUUGGAUGUGAUUCAGGAUGUUGAUUGGGUUAUUUCUCUAGGAAACUCUUUUGCUAAACAAUAUGAACUUUAUUCAUCCGAAGAUGAGCACUCUGCACUGCUUCACAGGUAUGAUGCAUUGUUAUGCAACACUCUUUUAUGGUGUCACUAAGAGCCACCACAUCUUUUUUUUGCUUCUUCAUGAUUUCUGCAUUUCCCGGGACUGACCGUCUAGAAAGGGGACAUCAGCUUUUUUUUUCGUCAGUGAUUGUUUUUUGUGACCAGGAACUGAAAUUAUUCGAUCUUUCCUACUGCAGGUGUCUUGGCAUUUUGCUGCAGAAAGUACAUGAUAGAACCUACGUACAUGCUAAGAUUGAUUUGAUGUACAUGCAAGCUAACAUUGCUUUGCCAGUUAAUAGGCUUGGUCUGGCAAAGGCCAUGGGAUUGGUAAUCUUUCUCUGCUUAAAAUACUACUUAUUCACGCUUAUCUCUUCGCAAGUAUUGGGUGUACGAGUUUUGUUAAGCCAAUCUUGUCGAGUAAAUGAGGCUAUGGGUUGCUGCUGCAUUUCCCAGGUUGCUGCAUCCCACUUGGACACAGUUCUGGACAAGCUUAAAGAUAUUCUUGAUACUGUGGGUGAUAGUAUCUUCAAAAGGUAUAUGCUGGGGACGUAUGAGUUAGUUUUAUCUCCUACGGUCUAUUAUGUAUUGGUAAAAUUUUAUGGAAUUAGAAUUUCCGCAUAUCUUAAUCAUGUGAUUAUAAAUACUGCGGGCACAAGGAGUUCAUUCUGGCUUGUAAUAUGUCAAGAUUGAUGUACUCUUAAUCCGGAGGUACCACAUGUUGUUUGCUAGUAGGUCUGAAAAUAAACUUUAGCUUGUAUUUGAGUUCGAUAUCUCUCCCUAUUUAACUUAAAAUGUCUUAAAGUGCUGGUGCUUUCUUUGUAUCUAAGCUUGAAGUCUGAAUGAUGCAAACUUCAUUGCAGGAUUAUGUCAUUCUUUUCUGAUAGUGCUAAAAUGGAAGAAUCAGAUGAUGUUCAUGCUGCUUUGGCUCUUAUGUAUGGGUAUGCUGCAAAAUACGCUCCAUCAACAGUUAUUGAAGCCAGAAUAGAUGCACUUGUGGUACAGCAGAAUCGGUGUUCUUUUGUUUUAUUGAUCUGCUAUGCCUGCCUGCUCUGAGUGUCUGUAUAUAUGUAUUUGGUUCUCCCUUGUAGCCUAAAUUUGCAAUGAGUGGAACAUCAUUUUUUUCAAUUCAGUAUCUGCUCUAUGCUUGUGAAAUGUGAAGACAUUUAUCUAUCUUUAGACAUGACUGUAUUGCCAUCCUAUUUUAUUGCAUAGGAGUAUGCAACUAAAAUAUUUACACUGGCGUGAUCCUUAAAUAUUAUUAGGUUCCAAUAUGUUGCAAAUGUCUCCUGCGGUGGUGUCAGAUUUUUAUGUUGGGUCAUUGUAAUAAUACUAUUUAAUCUAAGGCUGAUCAAAAUAUGUUGUUUUUGGUUUGGGGUUUCUAAAUACUACAGCUGUAUUUGAAUUGAUAAUUUUCAAGUGGUCGGACGUUUCUGAAACUUGUGGAAUGGUACUUUUUAGCUGUUCCUAGUAUACAUGUUGUUUGAGGUCUCAGUGAUGCAGUUAAUGCAUGAAUUAUGCACUGUACUGCUCCACGAGAACUGUGAUAAUUGUUCAUUUAGCAUCUUCUUGCCAAGUUGACAUGUUGCUAUCAUUGUUACUUGUUGAGUUGGGUAUUAUUAUUACCACGGUUUUCUUCUGCUUUCGGCUUUCUGGCAUCUGUUCUAACGUGUUUACAUAAGGUUUUUUUAUGAUACCUUUUGUGCAAUGUUUGACAGGGAACUAAUAUGCUUUCGCGGCUUCUUAAUGUACGGCAUCCUACAGCGAAGCAGGCAGUUAUUACGGCUAUUGAUUUACUAGGUUUGUAAAUUCACCAAAAUAUUGUCCGGAAUGCGCCACCUCUGUUGCUAUGUUGUUAUUUGUGCAUCAGGAUGACAUCUCUUUCUCAAGUGUUCUUACGUAGCUGGUUGAUUGCUACCAUCAUGUUAAUGUACAAGGAACCAUUUGGCUGACUACAUAUCCAAAAACUGUGCACACUUUCAAAUUGCUAGUUAUAUUUGGCCCGAACUUUGUUAUUUCACAUGAUUGAGAACUUAGCUGGAAAGAAAAACAAUAGAAGUAUGAUGCCAUUGCCUUUCUACAACGGGUGACUUUGGUUCCGCGAAGAAUGAGGCGUAUAAUAUAACGAGAAUACCUAAAAGAUUAACCGAUCCAUGAAUAUUCAGCAGAAACUACAGAAUUUGUUCCUUAAUCACGAUUCAUGUUCUAUUGUCCUUGUUUUAAAUUAUUUUAUGUGGUCACAAUUCAUAAUAUACAAGUCGACAAUGCAUCUUCUAUCCAUAGAGCCUGAUCUAAAAUUACAAUUCAUGAGGUAAUUGCUCUUUUCUCUAUCUCUAUGGGAAUUAAACUGAUUUUGCCAAUGCAGGUCAGGCUGUCAUUGGUGCUGCUGAAAGUGGCAUAUCAUUUCCGUUGAAAAGGAGAGAUAUGUUGCUUGAUUACAUAUUGACUUUAAUGGGCCGUGAUGAUGAAGAUGGACUCUCUGAUUCUAAUCUGGAGCUCCUGCACACUCAGGUUUGUUAUUUGGGAGUUGCUAUUUGUUUUGACAUUUCAUAUACAUGAACAGUGUGGCAUAGGGCCAAGAAACUAUAUCGAUUCAUGAAUGAUCCCCAAUUUUCGAUCUAUUAUACUUUGAAGUUUCUCCAAAUGUGCCAUUACUUGUGACCAGGUAAUUGGUACCAUUUAACCAAAGUAGAUUCCUUCACAUCCAACUAAAGAUUAAUUAUUCCACAACAGUAGGAAGGCCUGACUGAAAAAUUUGGUAAUUGUGUUCGUUGCUAUAUAUUUAUUCAUUUCAGUGAACUAUCCUUUAUGAAAGUUUGCUCAGUAAUAGGAAACAUAAUAGUGUUGCUCCUGUAACUUGAUGGAAACUCCCCCUAUUAAUGCUCUUCCCUCAAGUUGAAUAUUAAGGAAUGAAACUGUCCCUUGACAUAUUAUAAUGUAUUUUUGUUGAAUUGUGUUUCUAAGUUCACAUGGAUGGAAACAUUCUUAAUCCUGCCCAAUAUUUUUAAAGUGCAUUAUAUUCUCUGUAUAUUUUUAACCUGAAUAAAAUAAUAUUAGGUUCAAAACUAAGCUAUAUUUAACUUCUGUGCAUGUUCCUAUGCAUAACAUAGCUGAUGAUUUGUAGGCCGUUGUUUCAUUAGAGUAAGUACAUUAUUUUCCUAGCUUUUCCGUAUGUUUGCCUGAUCUAGAUCUUUCUAUGCAGUCCCUUGCAUUAAGUGCUUGUACUACGUUGGUCUCUGUGGAGCCAAAAUUAACUACUGAAACGAGGAACCUUGUGCUGAAGGUGAGAGAUGCAACUUAAUAGAGUCAUUUGUUAGUUACAAGAAUAUUUACCCCUCUGAUUAUUUUGUCAGGCUACUUUAGGAUUCUUUGGUUUGCCAAACGAUCCUCCUGAUGUUAUGGAUGGUCUGAUACACAAUCUUAUUACUCUUCUUUGUGCAAUCCUCGUUACAAGGUAAUUAUUCAGUCCGGAACUACUUAAAUUUUACUUUGUUUGGUACUUGCAAGCAUCAUUUAAGAUUGUUAAGGACUUUUAUGCAUGUUUGGGGCGGCUUUAUACUGUUCUCCACCCAACAAUUAGAAACCAAUGACACGGUAAAUAUAACCCAUUGAAUGCAUAAGAAACUUUGGGCAUUUUGUAGCUACUAAGAUUGUGGAUAUGCAAUGAUGUCUUAGGACAUAUUCUCUAGCUGCUUUGACAAGUUGUUUUAUUCAGUGGGGAGGAUGGGAGAAGUCGGACAGAACAGCUACUGCACAUCUUGAGACAGAUUGAUCCAUAUGUUUCCUCCUCUGUCGAAUAUCAGAGACAGAGAGGUUGUCUUGCAGCUUAUGAGAUGCUUCAUAAGUUUCGGACUGUAUGUGUUGGUGGAUACUGUUCGCUUGGCUGUCAAGGAAGUUGCACCCACAGCAGGAGAUUCGACCGUGCUUCAAAUUAUAAUUUUUCCAAUUUGCCAUGUUAGUCUCUCUCUCUCUCUCUAUCUCUCUCUCUCUCUCUCUCUCUCUCUCUCUCUCUCUCUCUCUCUCUCUCUCUCUCUCUCUCUCUCUCUCUCUCUCUCUCUCUCUCUCUCUCUCUCUCUCUCUCUCUCUCUCUCUCUCUCUCUCUCUCUCUCUCUGUUUACUUUUCAUUCUCAUUUCAUAUAUCAAGCCUCAUUCUCUCUUGGUUAUUUUCAGCUGCAUUUGUAUCCCCAAGCCGUGAUGCUUUGUGUAUAGGGGAGAGAAUCAUGGUGUAUCUUCCACGCUGCGCAGAUACAAAUUCUGAAGUCAGAAAAACCUCUGCUCAGGUCUGUAAUUGGUGAUGGUGUUAUCCUUUUCUGCUUAGUUCAUGACUGACCUAUAUGAAAUCGAUCUGAAUUAACACAAGCAAGGUUGUGGUUCUUUUUUAUUUCUUGCCCAAAUCUACGCCGAAUCUAGAUGAAUUAAGAUGGGUGAAGUUGAUUUUUUUCCUAUUUCUUGGUCAAUUAUUAUUAUUUUAUCGCGGUGCCAGCCAUAGAGAUUAAUUAUUAUUAUCUUAUCACGGUGCUUUAGUCUUGACUAUUUGCUCUCUUUGCAGAUUGUUGAUUUAUUUUUCAGUGUAUCUCUUUCAUUACCGAGGUCUUCAAACUCUAGUUUUGGCCUUGAUAUUGAAUUAUGUUACACCGCUUUAUCAGCACUGGAGGAUGUUAUUGCUAUCCUGAGGAGUGUAAGUUAAAUCAAAAUUCUCUUUUGAUCUUGUUUAAUUUAUCAUGCUUCUUUUCACUAAACUUCUGCUCCACUUUGAGAGUAACUUAUCCUGUUUGUAAUUUUGCAUAUAGGAUGCAUCACUUGAUCCAUCUGAGGUAUUCAACAGGGUUGUUUCCUCUGUUUGUGUAUUAUUCACAAAGGAUGAGGUAAGAAUUCAAAUAUUUUGUCUCUGUAUCUUUUGAACUUUUGAGAUAGUCAAAUGCUUUUGACAAGCUGUCCAACCUCAUCCAUUCUCAAUUCACUUUGUGCAGCUUGUUGCUGCUCUGCAUGUUUGCUCAGCAGCUAUAUGUGACAAGAUCAGGCAGUCUGCUGAAGGUGCAAUUCAAUCUGUGAUUGAGUUCAUUACGAAGAGGGGGAAGGAGCUGAAUGAGGCUGAUAUCUCAAGGUGGAGUGAGACAAUUGUGAUUCAAUCGUUAAUUCAAGCUGUGAUAGCUUUGCAUUUUAUCAUCUGAGAUCUUUGUGAAUAUUGCAUCAGGACGACACAAUCGUUGCUUUCUGCUGUGAUUCAUGUGACUGAGAAGUACCUACGUCAAGAAACACUCCAUGCUGUAUCCUUCUUAUAGAUCAUUUAUCUUUGUCUAUUUCAUUAUCCUUAGUGGUUUUCCUACAGCCUCUUGAAAGCUGGAAAACAUAAUAUGCAAUGUAUCUUGACUUGUGAGUAGCUUCUUUAACUGUUGAAAGAUCUCUUCUCUUGCUGAGAAUACCAGCUCAAGAAUUGUUUUUGGUGAAGUGUUGGCUGCUGCUGAGAGAGAUAUAGCGACAAAAGACGUAUCAAGAUUACGUGGUGGCUGGCCAAUACAGGAUGCAUUUCAUGUGAGUCUCUUCUCUUGGCAUAGGCCCAUAACGGCUGCCUGUUAAUGCUCUUAUGUUCCUAUUGCAUGGUGCAUUGACUGGUCAACAUUCUAUUUAAUUGCUUUCCAAAUUGAUUUGUUUGGUUGCUAUAUCCCUUUAUAAAGUUACGAUACCUGAUAUUGUUUGCUUUCGUGGAAUUAUUAGGCAUUUUCCCAGCAUGCAGUUCUUUCCUGUUCAUUCCUGGACCAUGUAACUUCUAUUCUGAAUCAGACACCUGUAUUUCAAGGUGGUCCUGGAAAGGGAGAGAAUCCCAACAUUUUUGGUGAAAGUCUUGAAGAAGAUAACGUGUUGCAUGCUGCUAUCACAGCUCUUACUGCCUUCUUCAGGUGUACUUUAAGUUGCAUUGUUUUGCUUACUCAUCUGCUUCUACAUUCUACAAUGACCAAAAGUAUGUUAUUUGCAGAGGGGGUGGGAAAAUCGGGAAAAGGGCUGUGGAGCAAAGCUAUGGGUCUGUCUUUGCAACUCUUGUGCUUCACUUGGGAACUUGUCAUUGUUUAGCUAAUUCUGGCCAGCACGAACCGCUUCGGUAACAAUAGCAUAUUUUCUUCCAUAAAUGCCUACUGAACUGGAAGUAACUGAUUCAGUUCUAUUAUUAUUUUGACAUUCUACAUUUGAUUUUCAGAGCUCUACUUGUCGCAUUCAAUGCAUUCUGUGAAUGUGUUGGUGAUCUGGAGAUGGGAAAGGUACUUGAGCCUCUCAUAAGUGGAAUUUUCACAAUGAUAAAUACUUGUAAUCUGAGUUUGGGGGCUAAAUAAAUCAAUUAUGUGCAGAUUGUGGCUAGAGACAGUGAACAAAAUGAAGAGGAUGCAUGGAUUGGUCUGAUCGGGGACCUCGCUGGGUGCAUUUCUAUAAAAAGGCCAAAAGAGGUAGUUAUUCUCAUAAAACUCUUUAAAUUCAAUUGUUCAUUUGAGCUAUAUUCAUGUUAUCAGUUAUACUGAAGACAUGUCUGUCCCACCAAUAGAAGACAUGUUUAACUUGAAGACAAAUCUCGUGAUUUUGUAAAGAUAAAACGGUGUAUAUUUGUACUUAAUGUUAAACUUGAAUAUCUCUCUACUGCAUUUCCACUUUAAGAUACACUAUUUCCUUGGAUAUGCUCGCUUUAUGAGUAAUUGUUAGUUAAAUCAGCCCAAGAACUAUGACAGACAUGCAAUUACAGAACCUGUUCAUAUCUUACUGAAAUGAUUUUUUUCCUGGAAAGAACAUAUGAAGAGAUUGCAGUUUAAAGGAAAAAAAAAAUCCUGAAUGCUCAUGUUUCUUCUCUCUUAGAAUACAAGUACUAUCUAUAUAUGUAUUCUAACUGCUACUUCUUUUUUUUCUCCUGUGAUUUUAUUGCUUCUCACUUAUCUAUUUACACUACUCAGAUCCCUACAAUUUGUUCAAUUCUCUGUAAAUCACUGGAUCGAUCCCCAAAAUAUAUGAGGGAAGCUGCAGCUGCUGCACUGUCAGAGUUCGUGCGGUUUAGGUAUAUUUGGGAUUCCUGUUCUUUCUCUCUCUGUGAGACAUUCUGACAUUUAUUGGUGUCUGUGAUAUCUGACUGUAAGUUUGGCUGUCUGAAUAGGUCUUGGCUUUCCCAUUUCUUUUUGAUAUAGGACAUUUUUUGAAAUAAUUAAGAAAAAGUAAAGAAAGUCAAAGGAGAUAGAGAGAACGUGUCUUGACCUCACUGUAGUAAGUAAAACAUUUAAUUAACUUCUCAUGUUACAUGAUAAAGUUCUCGUUCCUUUUUUUUACAUAUUAAAAUUUGUCUCUAAGUGGGUACAGGGCACAACCCAUAUCAAUUUUUUGGUUAUUAAGAACAAUUACAUGCUAGGAUAUUGAGAAACUGAGUAUAUAGCAUGCGUCCUUUUCUCCUUAAGUGAAAGUUAUAAUAUUAUCUGUAUCUGCGCUACCAGCAUCAGUAAUAUGAAGAGGGGCAGUUCUGGAAAGUCUUAUCCAAUCUGGAGGAUGAAUAUUAUGCUUCUAGAACAAAUAGUUCAAUCUUGCUUAUACUUGAGAUUUUUUUUUUGCUGCUUUAACAUUUUGAAGGAUGGAAAAGUAACAGUCUAGCUCAAAUUUGUAGUAAAUUGGACUAACAAAUGUCAGGUGCUUUGUUACAUAGUGUUGAUGUUUCUUGUUCAAAGCUCAAGUUAGAUUAACUUUUGCUCUUGCUUUCAAUUUCACGACAAGGUUUAUUAUCAUUCUGCAGUGACAGUUUAGGUUCGUUGUUGGAGCAGAUGGUUGAGGGACUGACUCGACAUGUUUCCGAUGAUUCUCCAAAUGUUAGGCGUCUUUGUUUAAGAGGACUUGUGCAGGUAGUUUAUUAUCAUAAUGAUCACUUGAAUUAAUUUCUAAAUACGCGGUGCAUGUUUUAUUUCGGAUGAUGUUUCUAUUAUCCCAAAUGUGUGGCCACCUAAUAAUUAACUGGUUUGCUUGGACCUGUUUUGCAGAUGCCUUCUGUCCAUGUUGUCCAGUACACUACUCAAAUUCUCAGUGUUAUAGUUGCUUUGCUUGACGAUCCGGAUGAAUCAGUUCAGCUUACUGCUGUCUCAUGUUUGCUGACGGUGAUUUAUUACGACAUUCUUUGCUCUAUUUAACACCUCCCCCCCACCCCCACCCAAAAAAAAACCAAGGAAAAGAAAAGAAAAUCUCUCGCUGAUUUACAUCAUUAUCUAUAUAUUGUGCUAAUAUUUACAUUUAUAGGUUCUUGCAACAUCUUCCACUGAUGCCGUGGAACCCGUUUUGCUUAACCUUUCAGUUCGGCUUCGUAAUCUUCAAGUAAGUUUUCAAGUACUACCAAUUUCACAUCAUUAUUGUCCAAGUAGUAGAUUUAGUGUGAAGUUAUUGGCUGCCGUCCAGAAAGUUUGUUGUCCAUGAGAAUAAAUGAAUUGCCUCUUCAAUUAAACUUAGUGUUGGCUGGCAGCUGAUUAACUUCCCAAUAGCAUUUGGUAGCAAGCUUACCCAACAAACGGGUCUUCAAUAUUUAAGGGAGUUCAAUUAUGCAAAAAAAUAUUACCCAGCUAUGUUUUUUCAUUUUUUUUGCUUGUAACAGAUAUGCAUGAAUGCAAAAAUCCGGGCGAAUGCGUUUGCAGCAUUUGGAGCACUAAGCAAGUAUGGGUUCGGUCCACAACGUGACACAUUUCUCGAGCAGGUCUAUUCAUUAGUUACUCUGAUCUGAUAUUUGAAUCGUAACCUAGUCAUUUGCUCUUGAGCAAUAUUAUGAUGAUCUACAAGAGAUUCAAAUUCGAUUCAACUUGAAUUUUAUAAUUUAUUAGGUUCAUGCUGCCUUUCCACGCUUGGUGUUACAUCUUCAUGAUGACGAUCUUGGUGUACGACGGGCUUGUCGGGUAGAUAAAUUAAUUCUUAAUACAUACUUUUACCAGAAAAGGACCUCUAAUUAUUAUUAAUUCACUUGAUCAUUUUCCUCUCAGAACACGUUCAAAUCUAUUUCUCCUUUGAUGGAAUUCAAUGGUAUUACUGCUCUUGCUAAUACACAUCGAUUGAGUUCUGAUCAUAGGUAUGUUUUAGUUUACUGAUUAAAUUAUCACUCUCUUUUUCUCCCUUAAUUAAUUUUCUGUUUUCAGAGCCGACUAUGAAGACUUCCUCAGAGAUAUUGCAAGGCAAUUUACUCAGCACAUGUCUUCUAGGGUUGAUACGUACAUGGGAUCCAUAAUACAGGUCAGCAUUUCCGAAUAACGAUAUUUAAAAAAAAAUUAUUUUUAAAACUUUGCAUGAUUUUUAGUAUGUCGACAAUUGCAGGCUUUUGAGGCUCCUUGGCCAGUAAUUCAAGCAAACGCCAUUUAUUUGUGCAGCAGUGUAAUUGCUUCCUCAAGUGAUCAACACAUCUCUGCCCUUUACCACAGCCAGGUUCUCGUUUACUCUUUAUUUAAAUAAAUUUAAAAUCUUCAAAAUUUUAAGAUUAUAUAUUUAUUGGCGUCAUCUUGAUUUAGGUAUUCGGAAUGUUGAUGGGAAAGAUAAGCCGAUCAACUGAUGCAAUAGUGAGAGCAACUGGUUCGUUGGCGCUUGGUUUGCUACUAAAGUCGGCCAAUUCGAGUUCUUGGAAAGUUGCACGUUUGGAUACGGAUUCCUCUGGACGUGAGACGGAAUCUUCUAGAAGGCAAUGAUGUUACAACCACCCCCAUUGACUGAUUUGACUCACUUUGAAUGUGAUGAAAUUGGUCUAGUAAACUCAAGUUGUAUGUAUAGACAGACACCAGGUAACUUAUUUAUUUAUUUGUUUGUGUGUAUAUAUGCAUGUAUCAUGUGUAUGUAUAUUUACGUGUGUAAUAAAGCAGUUGGAACAUAGGAAUAAUUUAGUUGUAGAUUUCUCUAUUAUAUAGUUGCCACUAUUUGGUGUGCUGUAAUAAUAACAGAAAUUUAGGGUGAACUACAAAAAUUGUAACUGUAACCUUUCUUUCACUUUUUAUUUUUUUAAUUAGAAGAAAUUCUAUCAAAUAUCGGAAUUGCAAAUACUUUAUUGAGAUGCUACGAACACCCCAUUGCAAAUAAAAAUUGUCUCAAAAGUAGAGAACAAAAACAGGCAUGUAGUCGGGAAAUGCAAAAUGCACUAAAUGCGGUGUAACGACCAGAAGAGAGGAGAAAAUAUUAGAAAGUAAGGUUUGGAAGAGAGGCGGAGAUCAAAUAACUCAAAUGGGUGGUGAAGAUUAAAGUUGAGAGAACCAACGGUCAAAAUUGGAGGAUGAAGAGAAUUCUCAGAGUUUGACCGAUCACUUGGGCUUUGAGUGUUAGGCUGCCUCAGAAUCAAUUGGGCCCUAAAUGCGACAAACCUGUAUUAAUAUUGAUGUGUUCACUUGUAAUAUCCACGUACAGUUAAACCUCUAUAAAUUAAUACAGUUGGGACUAUCAAAAUUUCAUUAAUUUAGCGAAAUAUUAACUUAUCGAUAAAUUAAUAAUUAUUAAUUUAUACAUUAAUUAAUAACUUAUUAAUUUAUGAAAUUACUUUUAUUAUUAUUUUCAAUAAAUACAUUUAUUUUAAAAAAAAUUGUGUAUAUUAUUCAUUGUACCAUUCCUUCAAUGCACUAUAGAGCCCGUUUAACGAACGGAAGCUCUUAAAGCAACAAUGGUAUACAACGAUUUUUGUUGAGUUAUGAGAAAACUAUAUCGAAAGUUCUAACCAUGUUAAGAAAAGUAAGGGACGAGAUUGGUGGCUAUGUAAACUUUCACGAGAAAAGAGCGAGAAUAAAUUAUAUUUUGUUAAAGCUUCAUAGAUCUAUAAAAAAUGUACUGGACCAUGUAGUUUAAAAAAAUAUUUUGAUGGCUUAUUAAUUUAUAUAUUAUAUGGGGCUUCUUAAAAUUUUCGNNNNNNNNNNNNNNNNNNNNNNNNNNNNNNNNNNNNNNNNNNNNNNNNNNNNNNNNNNNNNNNNNNNNNNNNNNNNNNNNNNNNNNNNNNNNNNNNNNNNUAGCGAGGUUAUUAAUUUAUCGGGUAUUAAUUUAUCGAGGUUCUACUGUAAUUAAUUAACUUGUGUCUUUUUAUAUAUUCUUUUUAAUUUAAAAAUUAAAUGGCCUUACCAUCAACACAAUCGUCUCAAAUUUCCACCUGGAUGUGAAAGAGCAGAUACUCUAUAGUCUAUUCUACCAACUUGUCACUUUAUUCUUUUUGGAAGGUAUAUAUAUAUAUAUAUAUAUAUAUAUAUAUAUAUAUAUAUAUAUAUAUAUAUAUAUAUAUAUAUAUAUAUAUAUAUAUAUAUAUAUAUAUAUAUAUAUAUAUAUAUAUAUAUAUAUAUAUAUAUAUAUAUAUAUAUAUAUAUAUAUAUAUAUAUAUAUAUAUAUAUAUAUAUAUAUAUAUAUAUAUAUAUAUAAAUAAAUAUAAAGAUAGAGAGAUAGAUAUAUAUAUAUAUAUAUAUAUAUAUAUAUAUAUAUAUAUAUAUAAUAACAAUAAUAAUAAUAAUAAUGGUAAAUUACAACCACCCAUGAGGUAUGGUCAAUUUACGAAAAAACCCCUCUUGUUUGAAUAAUUACAUCUACCCCUCAACUAUGAUUUUUUCUUACACCUCCACCCUUAUGGUGUCAAAUUCAACAUAAUUAUCAUCUAGAUUCUGUGAAAUGUGCUCUAGUUUGUACUCGUUUUGUGUAAAAAUACAGUUUUUGAUGCACCACAAUCUGAUAUAUACAAGCCAAAAAACACAUAUUAUGAUCAUCUUACUUCAAAAUGUAGAGUUCGAAUAAGAUAAAACGGGUACAAAAGUGAUAAUAUUAUUAUAUAUAAUCUCGAAGAUUCCAUUAAAUUUGAUGAGUUGAGGGGUGGUUGUAAUUAUCCAAACAAGAGGGGGUUUUCGUAAUUUGACAAUACCUCAAGGAGUGGUUGUAAUUUACCCGAAUAAUGAUUAUAAGACAGAGGAACGGAAGAAAAAGGGUGUAGGUGUGGAUGAUAAUAAGGUUGAAAAGCACAACAACUUGAUUUUGGUAUUGCUGUAACAUGUGAUGUGAGCACAACAAAAUUGCAGGUUCCAACCUGCACUUUCCAUCAUAUCACACCAACCACAUAUACACUGCUUACUUAGUUUAAAACCAUUUCUUUUUUAUGGAAACUUUAAUCCUUAUCCCUCACAUUUGUUGCCUAUUAUUUGAACAAAUCUUUCAUUUUGAUUAUUUUCAUUUUGCCAAAAAAGAUAAAAACUUGGAAAUCGGAUUUCGAAUUUAGAUAAUUUAUUUUUAUUAAUAUAUAAAAGUAAACACAGAAUCCGGAUUUAGUAAAUCAAAUUCAACGGGAUAAGAAGAAAAAAAAACCCUAUUUAAAAGGUAAAAAAAAACAUCAUAUCACUCCCAGCAAAUUAAAAAUGGCGAUCAAAGGAAAACAGCCUCACUUCAUCCUCUUCCCUCUAAUGGCACAAGGCCACAUGAUUCCGAUCAUGGACAUCGCCACUAUGCUCUCCGAACGCGGCGUCGCCUCCACCAUCCUCACCACCCCCCACAACGCCGCCCGAUUCCACCGCCGGAGCACACAAUCAUCCUCCCUAUCGAACAACAUUCACAUCCUCAACAUCGAAUUUCCAUGCGUCGAAGCAGGUCUCCCCCGCGGCUGCGAGAAUCUCGACAUGCUCCCUUCUUCCGACGACGUCAUGAAAUUCUUCAAAGCCGCCGCCAUGAUGAAGGACCAUAUCGAACACCUGCUCCGCCGCCUCAAACCCUCUCCCACCUGUCUAAUCUCCGACAUGUGGUUCCCCUGGACAACCGACCUUGCCCUAAAACUGCGAAUUCCGAGACUCGUUUUCUACGGGACGAGCUGCUUCUCUCUCCUCUGCAUGCACAUCCUCGGAAUCUCCGACGAUUUUCAUGCAAUGGCUUCCGAUUCCGACUACUUUGUCGUCCCUGGUUUGCCCGACAGAAUUGAAGUCACGAAAGCUCAUUUUAAGGCAACUUUUGACCAGCUAACCCCUGAGUGGACUCGGAUGUGGGACGAGUUGAGAGAGGCCGAGGCGAAUGCAUUCGGAACGGUCUCAAAUUCUUUCGACGAACUGGAGACGCACUACAUUGAAGGUUACAGAAAAGCCAAAGGGAACAAUGUAUGGUGCAUCGGUCCAGUUUCACUAUGCAACAAAGAGGAUUCCGACAAGGCUGUAAGAGGCAACAAGGCCUCGAUUUGCGAGCACGAGUGCAUGAAAUGGCUCGAUUCGCACGAACCGAGUUCCGUUAUAUACGUUUGCCUUGGAAGCAUGUCGAACAUAGCUACCUCACAGUUGAUGGAGCUAGGGUUAGGGUUAGAAGCUUCGAAGAAACCCUUUAUUUGGGUUAUACGAAACGCUUCCGAUGAACUCCAAACAUGGCUAUUGGAGGAGAAGUUUAGAGAGAGAAACAAUGGGAGGGGGCUCUUGAUCCAUGGGUGGUCCCCGCAGGUGUUGAUUCUCUCACACCGUUCGAUCGGAGGGUUUCUGACGCACUGCGGGUGGAAUUCGACUCUGGAGGGGAUAACUGCGGGUGUGCCGAUGAUGACGUGGCCGUUGUCCGCGGAGCAGUUUUUCAACGAGCGGUUGAUAGUGAAUGUGAUCAAGGUUGGAGUGAGGGUGGGGGUUGAAGUGCCGGCGAUGUUUCUAGAGAGAGAGAAUGAUGUGGUGAAGAGUGAGGAGAUUAGGAGGGGUGUUGAGGUGUUGAUGGAUGAGGGAGAAGAAGGGAGAGAGAGGAGAGAGAGAGCGAGAGAGAUGGGGGAGAUGGCGAAAAGGGCGGUGGAGGAAGGCGGAUCUUCUCACCGGAAUAUGGCGGCGCUUAUACAAGAUGUGGUGGUUCAACAGUCAAUGCUAGCAGAUGAUCAAGAAAAUGCCUGAUAUUUAUAUAUCUAUCAUAUAAUAUAUCAUGUUCUUGUGUAAUGUAAUAUGUCAUAAAUAAACUGAAGUAGUAUGAGUGUUCCUCCAAAAAUAAAUAUAUCUUUCUAACAAACCCUAUCGUGAAACAAUAAAAGAAGCUAUUAAUUCAUUCCAUAUGAGUAUCAAACUAAAAUCUCUAGCUCUCCAUACAGUACCAACUCCCUCCUUUUCCCUACAGUUACAUAGACUGGCGGCCAAUAUAUUAAUCAAGAACAAGAAAAUCCCCAUUUUGCCCUCCCCCUUUCAUGGUACAAGGCCACAUGAUCGAUCCCCACCGUCGAUAUCGCCAAAUUACUACGAGGCUAAUUUUUUUCUUUAAAAAAUAGCAUAAAUAAAUGCCACGUUUGUAGGGGUAGAAUUGGAAUAUGUUGAAAAAUAUUCCCUAAAAUAAAAAAAGAUUCCAUGAAAAAAUCACACCAUAUGAAGGUGGGUGUAAGACUGAAACAAAUAUAGGAGGGAUUUUGGUAAUUACGGAGAGGGGGUGUUUUUCAUAAUUUAACCUAAAAUCAGGGAGAUGUUUGUAAUGUACCCUUCAUCUUAGUUAUAACAGAUUGAGAGUUUUAAUAAAUCUCUUUAGCCAGCUGAUUAUAUUCAUGAUUUCUUUUUUUUUUUUGUUUGUUACUAAAUGUUUUUAGCAAUGAAUUGUCCUUGUCUUCUGAUAAUGUCCGGCAGUGUGGCAUGUGACACUUGGAAGGCGAUAUGUAUAUAUACCACAAAAGAUCUAGCUAAACAUCACAUGAAACCAUAUAGAAUUGUCUGUACAGCAUGCUGACGUCACCUCUUACGCCAUCGAUCAUUUGAAUUGAUAUACACCAAACUAUACUCUAUUAUUAUUGUUCAUUGUUCUUAUACAUUAUUAUAUUAUUAUUAUUAAUAAUAAUAAUUAAUCCCACUGCUUUAUAACAACAUCCUCAGAAUCUCAAAUUAGAAUUAAACCUCAUCUUCAAAAAAAAUGGCAUCACCACCAAACAAUAAUCCUCUACACUUCGUUCUGAUACCGUUAAUGGCGCCAGGACACAUAAUACCCAUGAUAGACAUGGCCAAACUGCUAGCCAGACGCCACGUCAGCGUCUCGAUCCUCGUCACGCACCUCGACGCCACACGGUUCAGUCCGGUGAUUGACCGGGCCGUUGAAUCCGGGCUGUCAAUCCAGCUUAUCAAAAUCAGGUUCCCCUGCGAGGAGGCGGGAUUGCCACGUGGAUGCGAGAGCGCAGACACCCUACCUUCUUAUCACUUCAUCGGUAACUUCUUCAACGCAAUCAUCAUGCUCCAGAAACCUCUAGAAGAAUUAAUCUCGAAAGAGCUGAUGAAUAAUAACCCUAGUCCGGUCAGCUGCAUAAUCAGCGACAAGCACAUAACAUGGACCGCCGCCACGUGCGAUAAGUUCCGAAUUCCGAGGAUUGUAUUCGACGGAAUGAACUGCUUCACUCAGGUGGUGAGCAACGCUCUGUUUAUCUCCAAGGUUUACGAGCGGGGCCCACCGGAUGAGCCUUUCCUGGUGCCUGGUUUACCCGACGAGAUCGAGUUCACCAGGAACCAGCUCCCUGGAUUAUUUAAUCCAGGGCCGUUGGAUGUCACAGGCGUCCGCGAACAAGUGAGGGAAACCGAGAAACGGGCUUACGGGGUGGUGGUCAACACCUUCGAAGAGGUGGAGAAGAGGUACGUGGACGAGUUCAAAACCCUAAAAAACGGCAAGGUUUGGUGCGUCGGGCCGUUGUCACUUUCCAGCAAGGGCGAUUUAGACAUUUCACAAAGAGGAAACCAGGCCUCGAUCGACACCGACCAAUGCCUGAAAUGGCUCGACGGUAAGAAUCCAGGGUCCGUAAUCUACUCGUGCCUCGGAAGCCUGAGCCGGCUAUCGCCGGCUCAGUUCGUCGAGUUCGCACUAGGGCUGGAGGAAUCGAACCAUCCGUUCAUCAUCGUGGUAAAAAAAUCCGGAUCGAAAUCGGAGGAGAUAGAGAAUUGGAUCAAGGAAGAUGGGAUUGAGGAGAGAACUAAAGAGAGGGGCUUAUUCAUCCGAGGGUGGGCCCCACAGGUGAUGAUUCUAUCGCACGCAUCGGUCGGAGGGUUUCUAACGCACUGCGGAUGGAAUUCGACUCUGGAGGGGAUAUCGGCCGGCCUGCCAAUGGUGACGUGGCCGAUGUUCGCCGAGCAGUUCCUGAAUGAGAAACUGAUCGUCCGGAUAUUAAAUACUGGUGUUGGAGUUGGUGCACGUGGUGUUGUACAUUUAGGAGGUGAUGAAGUAAAGGCAUCAAGUAAUAAGCUGGUGAAGAGGAGUGAAAUAAAGGAGGCUAUUUGGAGAGUAAUGGAGGAGAGAGAAAGUGGAUGUGAGAGAAGGAAAAGAGCAAAAGAGUUUGGGGAAAUGGCGAACAAGUCUGUGGAAGAAGGAGGUUCUUCUUAUCUUAACAUUGAGUUGCUAAUUCGAGAUAUUCAGCAGUUGGUGAAAAAAUAAGCAAUGUUUUGGAGAAUGAUUAAUUUGUUUGAGAAGUAGGAGAUGAUUUAAUCUUUGUUACAAUAAAAUUAUAUUUGGAUAUGGCAAUAUAUAAUUAUGUCCACAUAUAUAUAUUUUUGUUGUCUCUCUAGCUAGCUAGGUCCAGUAACAAUUGUGGUACCUCUUUAUUUCACAUCACCCUCCAUUAUUGAUAUAUAUACAUCCAAUAUCUAAUUAGGGGUGGAAACGAGCCGAGCUCGAGCCAAGCUCGUCUCUUUUGGCCAGCUCGAGCUCGAGUCCAUGUUGCCGAGCUCGAGCUCAUCGAGCCAAUUUUGGCGAGCUCGAGCUCGGGCUCAUUAAUUUUUUUUAUUUAUUAAAAUCAUUUAAUUUUUUAUUAAAAAUUAUUUAUAGGAAAAUAAAAAAAAAAAUUAUAAAAUAAAUAAUGAACUCUAGUUAUAUUUUUUUUUUCUAUUAUUAUUAUUAUAAUAUUUUAUAUUAUUAUGAAUUAUUUAAGUAAUAUAGAUUUGUUUCUAUUUAAAUACUAGAAAUAUUUAUUAUUAUAGACUAUUUACUAUUUAGUUAAUAAUAAUAAUAAUAAUAAUAAGAAUAAGAAUAAAAAAAAAAAAAAAAAUAGAAGGCAGCUCGCGAGCUGUCGAACAACUACAUUUGGGCUCGAGCUCGAUCUCAAAAAACUCGAGCUCGAGUUCGAGCCUUUGUCGAGCCGACUCGUCGAGUUUGCGAGCCGGCUCGGCUCGUUUACCACCCCUAUAUCUAAUGUUAAUAAAUUGUUUUCGAAUUUUUUUAGUUGAGAGAGUUUUGAUUUUUUAGAAAGUUAGAAAAUUGACAAAUGAUACUACCGCUGCAAAUAAGCCAAUUUCAGUAAAAGUCUCGUUGUAAUUAGCAUUUCAGUUUUUUUAUUAAGUAUAUUUGUAUUUACUUUACUUCAUUUAAUCGUGACCGUUAGAUUAGUAGGUAGUUAGAUGUAAUAUCUAAUGGCUGAGGUAAUAGAAACGUUAUAUCCAGCUCAACACAUAUAAUUUAUAAAUACUGUAUAAUCCCCUUUGAAAUUAAUUAAUUUUAAAUAAUACAAUUUUCCAUUUCUUCUUUAUAGACUGCAAAUGUUCUUCCUUUGAAUUUUAUUUCUUUCCAUUUAGCUUAUAACAAAAGACGAAAUUUCUUGUUCCCAGUGUCCCGUCCCCUGACCCAUCACAAAUGAUGGAAGAAUGUAAAUCGUAAUGACUGAACGGUCCGUUAUAACUUAAACUUCUGGUUUUCUAGAUUGUAAUACGAAGACUGGCGCAAAAUCCGAUGAUGAAUAUUCCUAGAUAGCUGUCUCCCUAGCUAGUAGUUGUCCCUCCGAUAAUUUCCAAGAAAAUUCCAGAAUUUACCUAUGUCUAAAAAUAAAAAUAAAAAUAAAAAUAAGAAUAACAAUAAAAAUAAAAUAAAAAUAAAUAAAAAUAUAGUCCACUCAAUUUGUUAGCGAUUCUUAUUAUUUCGAUUAUCAUUGAAAAAUAAUAUUGUCCACCCCCUCUAGAUCUAGUGUGACCAACCCUAUAGCCCUGCUGAAUAUAUUACGUAGGACUUGCUAGAAAAAAUCAUAAAAAUACACACAUACCACCUAAUUUAUUGCUCUGCCAUUUUCAAUUAAGUAAAUUAUAAUUUCUUGAUUCAUCAUCAAAUGACGUCAGAAGCUGAGAGCUAUCGUCAUCUUCAUUUCCUUCUCAUCCCUCUAAUGUCACAGAGCCACAUCAUCCCGUUAACAGACUUCGGCAAACUACUCGCCCACCGCGGCCCACUCGUCUCCAUUAUCACCACCCCCCAGAACGCCGUCAGAUACAAACCAACCGUCGACGCCGCCGCCGCCGCCGGCCUGAGAAUCCAGAUGAUACCACUCCAGUUCCCCGGCCAAGAAGCCGGCCUCCCCCACGGCUGCGAAAACAUGGACUCGUUAACCUCAAUGGGCUUAGCCACCGAAUUCUUCGCCGCAUCGGAAAUGCUCAAAACCCCACUCCAGAAAGCAAUGGCCGAACUUGAUCCGAAACCGGCCUGCAUUAUCUCCACCAACGCACUCCCCUGGACGCAGCAAAUCGCCGACGAGUUCGAUAUUCCGAGGUAUGUUUUCGAGACCAUAUCGUGUUUCACUCUCUUAUGUUCCCACAACAUCCUGUCCGUCGAAAACCCGAAUUCCAUGUCGGAUGAAGAAACCUUUUUAGUACCUGACAUACCUCACGUGAUCGAGUUCACGAAAUCCCAGUUGCCGGAGACCACCGCAAACUCCGCCAAAAAAUCGCCGGAGAACAACGACCAUACUACAAGCGUAAUAAACCAGAUAAUAAAAGCUCAACUUUCCGCCAGGGGUACUUUGGUCAACACUUUUGACGAACUCGAGCCCGAAUACGUAAACGGAUACAGAAAACAAAGACAAAACCUUUGGUGCAUUGGUCCAGUUUCACUAUCCAACAAAAACCUAACCGAGAAAUCGAACAGAGGCAACAAACCCUCAAUAAACGAGCAGCACUGCUUAGCAUGGCUAGAUUCCAUGGAGCCCAAAUCGGUAAUUUACGCGUGUUUCGGGAGCCUUUGUCGUAUAUCAGCCAAUCAGAUCAAAGAAAUUGGGUUGGGAUUGGAAGCUUCGAAUUCCCCAUUCAUUUGGAUAAUCAGGGGCCUGGAUUCAUCAGCUGAAGUAGAGAAAUGGCUCGAGGUAGAAAAUUUCGAAAAGCGAGUCGAAAAACGAGGGCUAGUAAUUCGGGGGUGGGCCCCACAGGUGAUGAUACUGUCGCACCGCUCCGUCGGGGGAUUCUUGACGCACUGCGGGUGGAACUCUACGCUGGAGGGGGUGUGUGCAGGUUUGCCGAUGAUUACGUGGCCUAUGUUUGCCGAGCAGUUUUACAACGAGAAGUUUAUCGUGCACGUGCUGAAAAUAGGUGUGAGGGUGGGAGUUGAGGGUGGUUGUAGUAAGGGUUUGUUGGUGACGUGGCAAAGAGUUAAGGAAUCUGUGGAGGAGUUGAUGAAUAUUGAAGAUGGUGAGGGUAGAGAGAGAAGGAGGAGAGCUGAAAAAUUGAGAGAGAUGGCGAAAGAAGCUUUGGAAAAUGGUGGGUCGUCUUAUUUGAAUAUUGGUUUCUUGAUUGAAGAUGUUGUGCAGCAAGUUUGUAAGAAAUUAAAUUGUUGAUCAUUCUGUACUAGGUUUCAAAUUGUCAAUUAAUUUGAAUUUUAAAGUUGAAGUAGUUUUAUGUUGAUAAAUAAAUUGGAGAUUUGGAACAAUAUUUUCCAAUUCGGUCAAUUUCCCAAUUCGAAUAUUUUCGAUUAUGAAAUUAUAUUUUUCAUUUCGAAUUCUGAUUUUUUUUUUUUUGAUUUUUUUGUUGGAACGUAAUUGGAAUGCAUAUUAGAUUUUAAUUUCCGAUAAUAUUUUUGGAAAUACCAAUUUUUUUUUUUCUUGAAAGUUACACUUGCAACAUCAUUACUUUAUGUAUUUUAUAUUACACGUGACUAAAUAUUUUGGAAUUUCUAAAUUUCGCGGAUUCCAAUUCGAAAAUUUGUGGUAUUCAAACAAGUUUUAAUUAUUCCAAUUUUAAUUUCUUUAACGGAAUUAAAAUUAGUUUUUUACUUACGAGAAGCCAAGAAAAGGUUAUAUUUUCUUUCCGGAAACAUUAAUUUCAAUCCGAUUGAUCCGAUUUUCACCCCUGAAGUUACCCAACUCUGGCCCACUCGCAGAAAUUGACCCAAUUGGUCUGAGCCGGGCUAUAGUUCAUUAAAAAUGAAACUCCAAGGCCCGCCAAGGUCUAGAAGAGUUUGUAAUAUUAAAUGAAUCUCUGAAAAAAUAUUUAAUGAAUAUCUGGAAAAUAAUAUAAAAAACAUAAAUCAUAUUGCAAAAUAAAGUCAAACAUAUAUUACCGAAAUUCCUUUCAUCUUUAAAUAACCUGAUUUUAAUCAUUACCGUAAUAUCAUGUAAUAAUCUACAGUAAUUCCCUGACAAUUCUUCUAGAAGAUUUAGGUUGUCUGAUUUUCAUUCAAUAAAUGCUAGUACUCUUUCUUUAUUUAUUUAUUCAAAAUUUAUUUAUUUAUUUUUCUUUAUCUUCACCACCGCAUCAACAAUGGCGCACCAGCUUCAUUUCCUCUUAGUCCCAUUAAUGUCACAGAGCCAUAUAAUCCCACUCACAGACUUCGGCAACCUACUCGCCCGACAAGGCGCGUUUGUUUCAAUCGUCACCACCCCACUCAAUGACGUCACGCACAAAUCAUCAAUCCGCAAUCACAACAUCCAAACAAUCCCCAUCGAAUUCCCAUGCCGAGAAGCCGGCCUGCCGGAGGGAUGCGAGAAUCUGGACACAGUCAUCAACUCGCCGGAGCUCACCCGGAGAUUCUUCCGGGCAAGUCAAAUGCUGGAAGCCCCGCUGGAGAAACUCAUCGGAGAAUUAGAACCGAAACCCGACUGCAUAAUCUCCACCACUGCAGUUUCCUGGAUAAAAAAACCCGCCGAGAAAUUCAACAUACCCAGAUACCUUUUCGAAACCAUAUCGUGUUUCUCUCUCCUCUGCUCCCAUAAACUUUCUCUCUCUAGUUUUCAAGAAGACGCAGUUUCUGAUUCCGAGAAGUUUCUUGUGCCUGACAUACCUCAUAGAAUCGAAUUCACCAAAGCCCAGUUGCCUAAAACGACGUCGUCGGAAGAUUCCUCCGGCGGUAAUAAUUUUGAAGAGAUUAAAGACCAUGUUAAACAGGCCCGAGAUUCGGUGAAGGGUAUUCUGGUCAACAGUUUCCAUGAAUUGGAGCAUUGGUACGUUGAAGGGUACAAAAGGGAAAAUGGAAAAGUGUGGUGCAUUGGACCAGUUUCACUCUGCAACACCGACACGUCAUUUUCCGGCGGAGGAAAAAACAUCAUUAACAAACCCUCCUCCGUCGACGACUGUCUGACGUGGCUGGAUCAGAUGAAGCCGAACUCAGUCAUCUACGCAUGUUUCGGAAGCUUGUGUCGGAUAUCUGCAGACCAGAUAAAAGAGAUUGGUUUGGGAUUGGAAGCUUCGAAUUCGCCGUUCAUCUGGGUCAUCAGAAAAUAUGAUCAAGAUUCCUGUGCGGCGGAGGUGGAGGAAUGGCUGGCGGCGGAAGAUGGUGGGUUCGAAGAGAGGGUACGAGGAAGAGGGGUGGUGAUACGAGGGUGGGCCCCACAGGUGGCGAUACUGUCGCACCGGUCGGUCGGGGGAUUCGUGACGCACUGCGGGUGGAACUCGACGCUGGAAGGUGUUUGCGCCGGCGUGCAGAUGGUGACGUGGCCGAUGUUCGCCGAACAGUUCUACAAUGAGAAGUUCAUUGUUGAUGUUUUAGGGAUUGGUGUUAGAGUUGGGGUAGAUGGUUGCUUGGAUUAUUCCAAUAAUAAUAAUAAUAAUAAUAAUAAUAAUAAUAAUAAUAUGGUGGUGACGUGGGAUAGGGUCAAAAAUGCAAUUAAAAAAGUGAUGGGGACUGAAAGUGAAGAAGAAGGGAAUAUUAUUAUAACGAAGAAGAGGAGAGAGAAAGCUGAGGAGCUUGCAAAAAUGGCGAGAGAAGCGGUGGAAGAAGGAGGUUCGUCUUUCUUGAAUGUAUCAAUGUUCAUUGGAGAUGUCUUGCACCAACUUCAAUAAUGUUUUAAAUCAAAUACUAUAAUUAUUAAAUUAUAUUAUUAUUCGGUGUAUUUUGUUUUUAUUUAUUAUGGCUUGCUUAAUUCUGAAAAUUAAACCUUUGUACUGUUUUUUUUUUAAUUUGUAUCCUGGCAUGAAACUAAAAUGUGAUUAUAAGAAGAAUAGAAUGAGAGAAGGAGAGAAAUAAUAAUACGUAAUAGAAUAGAAACCCCCAUUGUGUUAUGGGUUGAUUACAUGGAAUAUAUAUAGAGAAAUAUUCCAAGGUAAUAGAGUUUGACUAGGUAACUAAAUCCUAACUAAUCUAGGUAACUCAAUCAUACUAGAAUCCUAAUAUUACAAGAGUUCUAUAUAUAAUAUUCUCUAACACGCCCCCGCAGUCGAAACGUGACGAACGUGAAGACUGGACAAUCACUUGCUAGCACGCUCCCGCAGUCGGAACGAAUAAACUUCGAACGUGAAGACUGGAAACUUCAAAUGUGAAGACUGGACAGAAACAGCGAAACACAACGCUAGAGAAUUCCUCAAUAGAAAUAUCUGCCCAAUUUAAAAAAAAAAUUAAUAAUAAUAACGGGUGAGAGAAAAAUAAGAAUAUCUUGUUUUUUUUUUUUUUUUUUUGUGUAUGAAUCGAGAGAGAGAGGGGUCGCCGACCAUGGAGAAGAAGAGAGGCAGCGCCUAGGUUUUAGGCCAUGGAGAAGAAGAAGAAGAAAAAGAUAGAGAAGAUACACCAACCACCGAGAGAGGGAGAAAAUUCGGUUUGGUGGUCGCCGGCCAUGGAGAAGAAGAGAAGCGGCGGCUAGGUUUUAGGCCAUGGAGAAGAAGAAGAAGAAGAAGAAGAAUAAGAAGAAGAAGAAAGAGAUAGAGAAGAUGCACCACCGGGGGAGGGAGAAAAUUGGGUGGUGUUCAUGGAAAAGAUAGAAAAAAAAAAAAAAAAAAAAAUAUUAGAGUACCACCACCGGGGAGGGAGAAAAUUGGGUGGUGUUCAUGGAAAAGAUAGAAAAAAAAAAAAAAAAGAAAAAAAAAUAUUAGAGUACCACCACCGGGGGAGGGAGAAAAUUGGGUGGUCACCGCCAUGGAGAAGAAAAGCGGCUAGGUUUUCACCGCCAUGGAGAAGAAAGGCGGCCAGGUUAAAAAACCUAAACCUGGUGCUCUGAUACCAUAUAAGAAGAAUAGAAUGAGAGAAGGAGAGAAAUAAUAAUACGUAAUAGAAUAGAAACCCCCAUAAUAAUACGUAAUAGAAUAGAAACCCCCAUUGUGUUAUGGGUUGAUUACAUGGAAUAUAUAUAGAGAAAUAUUCCAAGGUAAUAGAGUUUGACUAGGUAACUAAAUCCUAACUAAUCUAGGUAACUCAAUCAUACUAGAAUCCUAAUAUUACAAGAGUUCUAUAUAUAAUAUUCUCUAACAGUGAUAUCAUAUGAUUCGUUCUCAAUUGAUGUAGAAUAAUAAUUGUGAUAAUAUUAAAAGUCUAUUUAUUUACACUCAAGAUAGAAUUUGACAGGGAAUUGAAAUGAAACCUCAAGAUAUAUGUGGUAUUAUUUGAGUCCAUAUCGUUUGGUCUGCUUCUAGAAGGUCUAUUAUGGGUCAACGACAGAGCCACAGAGGGACCAGCUAUUUUAUCCUAUGUGACAAUGUCAGUGUUAUAUAUUUGGUCCAAUAUGAUUUUCUUUCUUCUAACAUUCAGCUGUAAAUAAUUCAAUUCAACCCAAAUUAUUCGAAAUUAGGUGUAACAAAAUACAAAACCAAUGUACAAUAAUACAUAAUACACUGUAUAAUUAUAAAAGUAGUACAUGUGGUAUAUGCUUAUAACUAUUGUAGCUCAAAUUGCUUAUAUUCCAAAUCAGUAAUCCUUAACAAAAUCUGAUUGAACAUCAAGAAAAUGCAGUGAAUUAUCAUUAUCAAGAAGCCAUUCUUCUCCAUCAAUGAACGAAACAUCAAGAUACGGAGCUGCUUCCGAUUGCCUCAACUGCUUCCCGUAUCCCACUCUGUUCGUCGAGUUAGCCCCCGGCCCAUAACACUCGUAUUCCCCAAACAUAACCGUUCUGCAAAUUAAAAGGCCUAAAUCAUUUACCAACUUUUCAAACACAAAAUAAAGAUUUACGUACCAAAUUAUUUAAAAAGGGAAAUUAAAUAUAUAUAUAUAUAUAUAUAUAAAGCACGGACUGAUCUCUAGAAGAAUCCCUCCAAUCAUUCCAUCCCUCGGCAGCAACAACUUCAGACAUGUAUGUUUUGGAGAAAAUUGUAGUCGAAUAAUGCCCCCAUGCUCUCCCCAGCCACACUUUCCCACUGCCACGUAUGCUGCAUUUCACAAACGAGAAUCCCGAUUUUUCGUUCGCCGAAUCUCUUCCCUGGGCUGUGAUACUGCCACUUACCCCACCACCAGCCAAACUUACGUCUUUUGCCGUCGAAUUUAUCGUGCAAUCCUUCAAAAUAAAUAUAUAUUUUUUUAUCAUGCUUAAAAAUUGAUAUUACAAACAUGGUAUAUAUGUAUGUAUGUAUGUAUGUAUGUAUACCUCAAAAAGUGAUCUGGCAUUUCCAAAAAUGAAAUCAAUGGAGCCCUGGAUAAAACAUUCUUUGUAAUAAUGCCUGCCUUGAUCAUCAUUUAAUGUAUCUUGCGCUCCGUAAAAUCCACAUCCGUAAAAAGCCGAUUUAUCGCCCGAAACCCUUAAUGCUAAUGCUUGUCCUCCAACUUCCCCUGGAUCUGGAGCUGGAGCUGUGUUCUUAUAAUUUUCAAUAUUUUUCGUUAAAUAAAUCGAAAGAAGAUAAGAUCCCUUAUAGGAAAAAAUAAAUCAAAUAUUAUCGAGAAAAACUAUAUAAUAUAAAUACCAUAAAGCUAAUGUUGUAAGCUAUAAAGUUGGGAGCAGAAACAGCAAAAGUAGAGCUGUAGCUCGUCCCUCCGGUCGAAUUCGCCGUGUCGUUCCAUUCUAUAGCAGUUUUGAGGUAACCUUGGCCUUGUACUAUUAAGUUUGUCUUGUUAGAACUUAUCUCUAUUUUUUCCCUGCCAUUAUAUAUAUAUAUAAUUUAGUAAACAAAUAAAAUAUUAGUAAAUAAUUUAUAUAUAUGCUGAUCAAUUUACCUAUAUGUGCCUGAACCAACGAUGAUAAGCGUCCAAGCACGGCUAAAAUCAGGUGCGGAAUCAACCGCUUUCUGAACGGUGCUGAAAUUCGCACAGCCCUUUGAAUCGACUGUAAAAACAGAGGUAACAUUGUACAAUGAUAUGAGACUAGACUUCCAUAUGUUUUCAUUACAUGAAACAUUUUGCCUUCUUGUGUGAUUAUGAUGAUGGUGAUUAUGAUGGUGGUGUCCUUUAUAGACGAUUCUUCGUAAAAUCGAGAAUAUUUCAUCUAAGCGAAAAAAAUCGACGUCGAGAAUCGGACGAAUGGUAAAGUAUGGAGUAGUGGAAGAGUGAGAAGAGUGUUGGGAAAGUAUGAGAGAGAGGAGAAGAAUGAGUAAGGUGGUGAGCCAAAAGAGGAUGGUGGUUUUGAUGUUCAUUGUUUUAGGUAAGAGAAAAAAGUGGGGUUGGUUGUUUAUGGUGUUUUUGUUUUUGGGUUUAGUUUAGGUGUGUGUGUGUAUAGGUAUUAAUUAUGUGUGGAAUAUGGUGUAGUUUUAUUGAUGGGUUUUGGGUUUGACGUAGAAUGUAAGGGAAAUUAAUUUAUGUAUGUGGAAAGAAAUGAUUACAUUUAGUGAAAUUAAUAUUAAUGUGAAAAAAAAGGUAUGGGCAGGCAGCAAAUGGAGAUUGAAUAAGCCACACGCUAAGCUAACUCAUAACACACACAAAUUGCCCACGCGCUCUUAUUCAAACUUCACCCAUUUGCUCGGAUCUGGUCGGGUCGGGUCGGGUCUUGACUUGGGCUCAAUCGAGCAGUUGAGUUGAAAGCCCAGUUACAUGCUCUGGCGGAAUAGCACAUUACCCCUUUUAGUUUGUGUAUCUUGCAAAUGAACCCCUAUCAUUUUAAUUUCUUUGAAUUUUUAACCAACUUUGAAGUUUGUGUUUAAUAAGCAAUCGAGUCAGGGUCGAACUUUAAAAAUUGUGCUUGAACAUUUUUUAUAGUGCACUACUUUUAACCGAUAAUCGAUUUAGAGUAGCCCGCGAUUUUUAUUGUAUGAUUGUGAAAUGCUUUAUUAUUUUUACUGCAAAUUACACCUAUAUUAACUAAGGUUAGGUGCAAUUACAAGUCAACCACAUCUAACUUGAAAAAUUAGGUAUGACUUUCACAUGUUUGAUAUAUUAGCUAACACUUAAUGCAUUUGAUAGUUGACAUUUUUGAAAAUUUAUUUGUAUUUCAUAGCGAAAUAUUGAAUUAAUAAAUUAUAUUGUCCUCCCAAAGUUACGUCUAAUUACAUAUAGACCACUCAUAUUUUAAAACACCACAAAGACCUCCUUAAUAUUUAAUUAUAACUAAUAAUUCAAUUCAAACUCAUAACUUAUAAUAUUUUCAGAAACAACAGCAAACACGAAUCAAUAGUUCAACAGUAAUAAAAAAAAAAAAAAGAUGAAAUUUACCUAGUGCACAUAAACAGUUGAUUUGAUUGCGGUCGUAUUAAUUGUUACAAAAACAUAGAUAAAAUAAGCUUACAAUGCAUAAAGAAAUUAAAUAUUAAACAGUUUAUUGAUUAGCCAAAGGCCCUCCACGUAGAUAAUAUUAAGAAAUUCAAGCAAAGCUGCAAAUACUACAUUAUUACAUUAUAAAUAUUGAAACUUCAAAGUACGGAAUUAAUUAAAACAGCACACACAACACAUUAUUAAUUAAUCAUUCAUAAUAAUAAUAUGAUCAUCAGCCUCUAAAAGAAAAGAAGCGAAAAAUGCCAAAGGAUAGAAGUUGCCCUAACAACAACAAAUUAAAAGCACCACCACCACCGUACUCAUCCAUAUUGCAGCUAUGCAGGCUGCUUAAUUACGACGGUGGGUGCAAUUACCGCUCCUGCCGCCAUGUUCGACCACCACCAUCGCCGUCGGUGCAUUCUCCUCCAUGGCGGCCGCCACCAAAAUCAGAGAGAGAAAGAGAGAAGAAGGAGGUGAUUAAAAAGGGGUUAUAAUAAGGUAAGUAAACAUGCAUAUGUAGGUGAUAGUGAGGGGGCAAUAAAAAGAUUGAAGUGACAUAAGUAGAGGAAGUUGUGGGGGAACUUUAUUGUUAAAAGGUGACCAUAAAGAUUAGGAAAAAUAUAGCAUCUUCAAAGGAUAUGCCAUUCGCAUAUCUCUCCCACCACUCCUCCACAUUACAGAUCCGAUCCUCAUAUAUAUAUUUUUCAAAAAAAAAUAAAUAAUUAUUUUUUGCCGUACGACAGAGAAAUUAUAUAGCGAUUAUGCUGCAUAUUAUCCUAAUUGGAAAGGUUUAAUUUUCUUCGACUUUUAUUUAUUUAUUUUUUGAGCUCUUGAGAAGCAUACUUUAUUUUCUCAAAAAAAAAAAAGGGAGAAGCAUAUAUAUCUUUAUUUCUAGCUUAAAUAGUAUUUUAUAUCUAAUUUUUAUAUCAUUAAUACAUUAUAUAUACAUACAUAUUUUUGUAGCAAAUGAAAAUACCAUUUAGAACACAUGAUUUUUUUUUCAUCAGGUUUCUGUAUUGUUGCAAAAUCUCAACUUCUAUUCUUUGGUGAUUGAUAUAUAUUACUAUAUGUCUUGUAUAUUAUUGUAUAUAUAGUACGUAGUACGUAAUGUUUCUUUUGCAUUGUCUUGGUACGUAGUACGUAGUACGUAGUACGUAAUGUUUCUUGACAUCACAGCCAAUCAAUCCUUUUCUUCUUUUAAUUACAUAUUUUUAUGCUUCUUUUAGUUCCUAGCUUGUUACUUAUCGGACAUAUAAAAGGUGUUGGAUUAAAUAAAAAUAUACCAAUCACAACUUACAAUAACUCAAAUUUUUGGUUUAUAUUUUUUGCAAUUCUAUUUAUUGUAUUUGAUGGAGGUCGACUUAAGCCUCGUCUAAAUUGGCUCUUCUAGAACAAUUUCCUCGACUUUUGAUUGCCGGAAAAUUGCUCAGUCCACCCGAAAUCUCGAGGCUGGAGCCCUGGAUCGAGGAACACUCCAACCUUCAAGGUAGUAAAUUAAUGAGGAAAUCGAAUAGAGACAAUCCGAUGAUGUAUCGAUCGUGUGUUUUAGAGGGUGUUUGGCUAAGCUUAUUUUAAACAGCUGAUAAGCUCUUACGUCUGAUAAGAUGUUUUAAGAGCUGAUAAGUUGUUACAUCUUAUUUUUAGGAUUAAUUUUUUGAGUGUUUGGAUAAUGGGCUUAUUUCCUAUUUUUACUCAUUAAAAGAUCUUAAAUAAAAAGGUGGGGUAGAGGUACUUAUUUAAAAAGAUCUUAUUUGCUCUCCAACAGCUUAUUUUAAAAAAAAAUAAGAUCUUUUUCUAAAAAAUUACCAAACACUUUGAAAGAGCUUAUAAGCUCUAAAACAUCUUAUAAGCUCCUUUUAACAUCUUAUAAGCUUAGCCAAACACCCUCUUAGAGCCCGUUUGGCUAAGCUUAUUUAAAACAUCUUAUAAGCUCCUACAUCUGAUAAGAUGUUUUAGGAGCUGAUAAGCUGUUAGAUCUUAUUUUAAAAAUUAUUUUUCAAGGUGUUUGGAUAUGUAGCUUAUAAGUUACUUUUUGUUUUUAUAAGUUGUUCAGGUGUUUGGAAAUAAAAGGUCUGUUUAUUGCUAUAAUGACAAAAAAGUACAUGACAUUGUUAAACUUAUUUGACUCAAAUACUUUUGUUCCUAAAAUAUUAUUAUAAUAUUUACAAAUUAUUUUUCAAAUAAUAAUAAUAAUACAAAAUUAUAUAAUAAUAUAAAAUAAAACUUGUAAAAGAAAUAUAAUUUUUUUUAGAUGAAAGAAAUAUAAUUUAUUAUGGAGAUAAUAAGAAUAUUCGUGUAUUUUUAUAUAUAUAUAAAAUAUAAAUAGAGAAUAAUUUUUUUUUACAAUUAUUAUGAUAAUUACGAUAAUUAUAUUUAACUAAUUAUUAAUUUUGAUUACAAGAAUACGUUGUUUUGAUAAAAUAUAAAUAUUAUUAGUAUUCAUGUAAUAUAAUAAAGUAUUUGAGGGUAAUUUUGUAUUUUAAGUGUUUUAGUAAAGAAGCAAAUAAGAUCUUAAAGAAAAAAAUGUGGGGUAGAGGUACUUUUUUAAAAACAUCUUAUAAGCUCCCUAACAGCUUAUUUUUUGAAAAAAUAAGAUCUUUUGCAAUUUUUUUACCAAACACCUUUUAACAACUUAUAAGCUCCUAAACAUCUUAUAAGAUGUUUUUAGGAGCUUAUAAGCUUAGCCAAACAGGCUCUUAGUCAUACAUAUUGUUGAGGUUUCGGCUUAAUUUUGAGCCCAUGAAGUAUGAUUAAGUUAGGUGUUGCCCCAUCAAUAAAAUCCAAACUUAAAUAUUUAUACGAGCCCAGUAGAAAUAAUUUAUCGAUUAUUUCUUGCUAUAAGGAGUUUGCUAAUAGGUGUGUACAAAAUACCAAUUUUGAUGUGAACCGGCCCAAAGAUUUGCCAGCCCAGCCUACCUAUAUAUGAACUGAUCUUUCUUAAGAAAUUGAAUAAAAGCUUCUUUUUUUUUUUAAUAAUAAAAAUUGGAUCAUUCCAAAAAAAAAUAAUAAUAAUAAGCAUCAACUAAGACUCAAUUAUUGAAUAAAUUAGCAAAAGAAAACCUUGCUGUCAAAGCAGGAAUAAAAUCUUGAAAGCUUCUCUGUGCACAGCCUGUGAACUCCUAAACUGUAGUAGAAAUUUACCUACUUGUUCGGCGGCUCCGACCAAUAUAUAUAAGAUUCACAAACAUAUAUCCUUCCUUUUCAACCUACGAAUAUAUUCAUCGAUCAUUGUAUUAUUUAUUAAUAAAACCUAAAGAAAUAAAUAAAUAAUAACACUAAUAUAUUAAGGGUAAAUUCCACUUUACCCCAUUGUACUUUGGUUGGAUAUCACUUAAUUACCCCAUGUACUCUCAAUUGCAUUGAUUUGUCCCCUUGUACUUUGGUUUGAUAUCACUUUACUACUUGUAUUCUCAAUUCAUCGAUUUGUUCCCUUGUACUUUGGCUCGAUAUCAUUUUACCCCAUUCUACUCUCAAUUGCAUCGAUUUGGCCCCAUGUACUUGAAAAUUAUCUCAAUGUGGCCAUCACCGUUAGUUUUCAGACCUUUGACCUUAACACCGUUUGAUCUAAGUUUGAAAAUUACAAAAAAACCACCCCUCCCAGUUUAAAUAAUUAUUAAUAAAUAAAAAAUAAAAAAUUGUGGCUAGUGUCGUGGACUAUGUUUUCUCGCUGUCUUGAAUUUUUUUAUUAUUUUAUUUUUUGUUGUUUUUUAUUUUUUAUUUUUUUUUAAUUUUUUAAUAAUUAUUUAAACUGGAGGGGUCACAUUUUAGUAAUUUUCAUAAUUAAAUCAAACGGUGUUAAGUUCAAAGGUCUAAAAACUAACGGCGAUGGCCACAUUGAGACAAUUUUUCAAGUAAGGGGGACAAAUCGAUGCAAUUGAGAGUAGAAGGGGUUAAAGUGAUAUCGAGCCAAAGUACAAGGGGGCAAAUCGAUGAAUUGAGAGUAGAAGGGGUUAAAGUGAUAUCGAACCAAAGUACAAGGGGGCAAAUCGAUGCAAUUGAGAGUACAAAGGGGUAAAGUGAUAUCUAGCUAAAGUACAAGGGGGCAAAUCGAUGAAUUGAGAGUAGGAGGGGUUAAAGUGAUAUCGAACCAAAGUACAAGGGGGCAAAUCGAUGCAAUUGAGAGUAUAAAGAGGUAAAGUGAUAUCUAACCAAAGUAAAGGGGUAAAGUGGAAUUUACCCAUAUAUUAAAGGUGUUGAUGUUUGGCUAAACGGUGCAUGUGUGGUGGUGGACCAAAUCAAAUUAAAAAACGAACUCACAAAGACUGCCUUUUAAUUUGUUAAUUGCAUUUCCACCUUGCAACUAACUACUAACAAUAAUUUAUUCACCAAUUAUUGUUAUUCCCCAACAAGAAGUAGUAUUAUUUUUUUAAUUAUUUCCAUUGUAACCCCCCGUUUGCCUUUUUGGAAUAUUUCAUAUAUACAAAAUAAAAGUAAAGAAAAGAAAAUAAAAGAAGGUGAUAAUUAAUUAAUUAAUAAUAAAUUAGGAGCUAAAAGGAGCUCUUUGAGGGAUGCCUUUUCUUCUUCUAGCAGUAGGAGGUGGUGUGUUUGGGUAUAUGUCUUCACCCAUUUCUUGUCUUGAUAUCACUUCUUCUUCUUCAUCACCUCUUCUUUCUCUUUCUAUCACUACCUCUUUUCUUGCAUUUGCUUCCCCAUUAUUCCUCUUUUUUCCUACUACCUACAUUAUUUUAUUAUUCGGAAAAUGAUAAAUAUAUUUAUUAAUAUAUAUAUCAAGAAAUUUGGAAGGAAAAAAAAAAGAAAAGAAAUAUAUGUAUAUAUAUACCUUGCAUCCCAAAGAACAGAAGCGAAAGGUGUCCAAAAGGGAGCGGCCACAGAUUUGACAGAGGUGAGAAACAGAAGGUGCUUUCCCACCUAACUUAGGGUGAGGCCUCUCGUUCAGGAACAAAACCCUAGCGCUGUUUAUUACGUAUGUCUGCACCCCACUUAUAUCUAGUACCUUCUGUAUCUCCGAUACCCUCACCACAUCAUGAUACGAUGAUCGCCUUAUCUGCAUUCAUUCAUUCAUUCAUUCAUUCAUCCAACAAUUACAAUUUUAUUAAUAAAUUUAUAUAUAUGCACUAAUAAAAUUAUUUGAUACUAAUAAUUAAUUUAUUGGGUGGAAAACAAAAGCAAGGCUAGGUUGUAACGCCUGUUCCGAGGGGUCACAUUAAAACUAAUAUUCAAAGAGUUAGGCAUUAUUUAUUGAAUGAUGGUUACUGCUACCAAUUACUGCAUUGUUUUGAAUUGGACUUACGAUUUAUAUUCUGGCAAAAUCAUAAACAAUAAUAAUAUAAAAAAAAAAAGGAAAUAUAAUUAAAGAAAGGCCGGCCGGCGGCCAAUAUAUAUAAUUAAAUUAAUGAGAUUAACCUGAAUGACUUGAUGGUCUUUGUGCUUAGAUGAUCGGCAGUAGAAGCAAAAGGCGUCGCAAUUGCAAUCCAAGCAGAACAUAUUGCAUUCGCUCCGGGCCGCGGCGGCGUGGUUGCGGCACAGGUUGAAGAAGGUGGUGUUUAGCAGUCUUUCUAGCCACGGCACCGCCGGCAUUCUGUACUCCUCCUACAUAAAUUAACUUGCAUAAUCAUUAUCACAGCAUACAAUAAUCUUAGAGAGAGAAACAAAAAAAAAAACAAUGGCAUUAGAAUACACUAGUGAUUAAGAUUAUAUGUAUAUGUAUAUAUGCAUUACCAUUAUCGAAUUGGGUUUUCUCCAAUGGUGUCGUGAUUGAAUUGGCAAAGAAAGGAGAGAGAAAGAGGAGAGAGAGAGAGAGAGAGAGAGAGAGAGAGAGAGAGAGAGAGAGAGACCUAACCUAAACAAGCAGCAACUUUGAAUGCCACAAGAAAUUCACCGUACGCCAAAUUAUAUACGUAUAUAUUUUUUAUUUUUAAUAUAUAUAUAAUAUCUUUUGUUAAACACAUCAGCGUACACUAAUUAUACAUACGUAUUUUAAUUAAUUAAUAUAUACAAAACAAGCUGCGUUAUACAGAGAAAGUAACCCAAAAAAUAAAAAAUAAAAAAUAAAAACUUUCCCCCCACAAAAUAAUUACCUAUUUAUGCACAAAUUUAUUGGCAAUUAAUAAAUGUGACAGAAAUUGUUACAACUUCACCUAGGUUGGGUUGGGGCCAAAGCCUAAUUUUUUGGAAUUUCUUUUAACCUACGGACGGACAGGAUCGAAAGGGGUGGCUGAAGAGUGUUGUGAGCCGUUGGAUCUAAUUAAGUAGGGAGAGAGGUAUGGCGCGUACGCUACAAUAUUUUGGAUCUUCUCUGCGUCUGUACGUACGUAGGCAAAGAGGGUCGGCCACUAUAAUAAGCUUGUAAUGUGAUCCAUACGCCGUCGUUUUCGAAGCCAUUUGUGCUUUUCUUACGUGGGACUCCCUAGUGGUUAUUCGUCCUGGGCCCCACAGCAUGGGCUUUUUUGUUGUUGAUGACGUCAUAAAUACUAUAUAUCUUUUUAAUUAUUUAAAUUACCCUUCAGUAUUUCUUAUUCAAUUUCAUUAGUGGGUCCCAUGUAUAAUGCAAUGUGGGCGUAGGCAAGAUGUCAUGUCCUAACACUCUUAAGCAAGAUUCUUGAUUAUAAUGUGAUGGGGUAUUCAAAUUUUUCAUCUUUAGAACAUAAUUUAUGCAUGAAAUUUCAAAGAAAGAUAGUAAUUGUUACAUAUAUUAAUAAUGAAUAUUACAAUGAUAUAUAUAUAUAUAUACACACAAAAAAUAAGUAUAAUGUUAAUAUAAUUAAGUAUAUAUAAUAAUUCGAAAUAAAAUAGUUAGGUGGUUCCAACUAGAAUUCGCUUCGGGAAGUCGCAUCAUGCCCCGGAAUUGCAUUAACAUUUUCACAAGGUUAAUGUAACAGCAACAACCCAAAAAUGGGUUCUUACCCACAAAUUUAGUCACGAGAUUGUGUCUAUACAUUAGACGAGGACAAGACUAAUAACACAACGAAAACCUGAAUUUGGGGGAAAUGAUUUUAUCUUUCCUUAAUUCAAUGAAAAUCAAAUUUAUUAUUGUUUUUUUAAUUUUUUUUAUGGAAGUGAAAUUGAAACCACCAAACAAUGACUUCAAAUUGUAGUGAAAAGCCAACACUUAUUUGGGACCAUAAUCUAUGGAAGAAGAAAAGGAUACGAGUUUCGAGAUAUUCAUACAUAGUUUACUAUUUCUUCCGUUUCAAAAUAUCCGUCACUUUUUUUUAAGAAAAUGUACCAUAUCUUAUGUUAUAUUAUUGAAUCAAAUUUGACCGAACUGAAAUACUAUAAUACUAAUAUAUAACUUCUUUUUAUUUAUUAAUUUAUUUAAUUGAACAAUGACUAGUGAAUUGAUGUUACGAAGAAGCAGAAAGACAGCUAAGUUAUCAGCUGCAUGAAAUAAUCCGCUAUUUUGUUGAUUGUUGUCACACUGCUACAUGAAAUUAUCCAUUAAUUUGUCCACUUACGACAUUGCCUUGUGGGAGAAAUUAAUAAUUAAUAAAGUUGACAUUGUGAAUGAUAAAUACAAGGUGUAUAUUCUGCUCAAAAUUAAUAAAAUAUAAGGUUUGUAUUAAUUAUUUUAUUAUUGUAUAUAUUUAAUAAAUAUUAAUGCUAAUAGAAUAAAAGGGCGGGAACAAAUCGGUUGAGUAAUUUGGCCGGACAGCAAAGGGGCAUUAAAAGCACUGUUUAAUGACAACUAGUACAUGUUGACAUAAGUCAUUAAUUUAAUUUUGUGAUAUAAAAGUGUUUAAUUUGGCACCUCAUGUUUCUAUAAUUUAACAAUUUUGGUCAUUUAUGUCAAUUUAUCGAUAAUUCAUCAGUUAAGGCAGUGAUCGUCACAUGCGUGAUUCCGUUAUUACUAACGGAAAAUUGACGAAAAUGACUAAACUUGUUUCAUUUUUGAAACAAAUGGACCAAAUGUGUUUUUUUUAUAAACAUAGGGAAUUAAAUAUGAAAUCAGUGCAAAUUUGAGGGAUGAAAAAUGUAUAUUUUUCCGUUUAUAGUAUGAGUGACCAAACUUGUACUCACAAAUCACAAUGCAAUAAGUCACAAUGCUGUUUUCUGUUCAUCUCAAGUCCGGGGCUCAGUGCACUAUCCAAUUUUUUGUUAUAUUCGACCGCGAUUACCAAUUAUUUCAACGAGCUGUCUUUCGUUUAAAAAAAUUCUACCGGCGAUCAAAAUAACGAAUACUCCCUAAAGGUUCAAUAGGUGUAAGAAAAGCACAUAAACAAACAAAUAUAGAAGCCUCUCUCAUUUAUCCGUCUCCUGCAAUUCCUCCUUGAGUCGAUCCACUUCUCUCUCCCACUUGAACCCAAGCAUCUGCCUCCCAAACGGAACAAUAAGGUUGUAACGAAAGACCUACAAACAUUCAUUUCGUCACAAAAAAAUGAACAUGCAACAAAUAUACCAGCCCUGUUUUAAUUAAAUGUUUUUUUUCCAUGUGCGUCGAUUAUAAACACGAUUUAUACCUUAUUAUUCAGAUCGCGCAGCUGAAGUUUCAAUGCCUCGGAUGACUUGAGCCAUUUGGAGUCAUGACUAUGAUCUCCUUUGUUAUUAUAAUGCACCCAAGCUUUCUUGAGGGCCAAUCGCCAACUAGCAACGCUAUUUCGUAUCUCUUUGUUGAGCUCAAUCCAUUCGGGCGCGCAUCCAUUUUUGUUGAGAAUUCUAUACAAGGUGUCUUCAGCGGGGUCUACGUGAGGGUUACUUGUGAGGUCUAGCGGCUUUCCUUUUCCCGGUAAGUUUUCGAAUUGACCUUCUUCCAUUGCAUGCCAUACUCUUUGCUCCACAACGUUUAUAAUGUCGGUUUCCGAUCUGGAAGUUAAUACCGAAUGUCACUUCUUUUUUGUCGAUUUUUCUUUCUUCCAAUUUAACAAUCCCAAUGGAGAAUAAACAAUUUAGUAAUUGAGAUACAAGCUUAUUUUUUGCAAGCUGCACCAAUUAUUGAAGCCAAGACAUAUACCCUAUAUAAACAGUAUGCUGACAAACUAGGGCACAAAUCAUCACAGAAACUAGGUAAAUAUUUCCCCUUUGCUAUAAAUAAUAUGAACAAUGAGCAAAAUCAAUCAAAUGUACACCAAUUGGGCACUGUUUCACACAAAAUACUCUGUUUGGUCUAUUCUUCAAAAUUAAGCUCUCCAAUUUUUAAAAAUUGAAUGAAGAAAUUCGUGAUAUGGAUCGCAAUAUUUGUCAGGUCAAUAAUAGCUAUGCUAUUGCCCUACUGAUUGUUGGCCUCUGCCCGAUCCCGAAUGCGGGCGGGAUUCGAUCGUGGUCGAUAAUACGGUCGAAAAGACCAGCGAGCGAGAUGGUUGUUAAUAGUACUCCCCCUAUCAUUGCCUUAUGAGUUAGAACAUCCUACAAUCGUACCGAUGUCUACUAAAACCUACGGGCGGGUGCUCCGCAACAGCGGCAGUAGUGAACAUUGCUACUAAAGAAGGGAGAGGGGAGCCUCUACCGCGGCAUAUAUCGAAAAUCGGAAUUUAUGCUGAAGGGGGGAAAAUGUUAACCUAACGUUGUUGCGUUGUCCACGUAGCUCCGGUGGGAGUUUACGGUCGUUGACGGUGUCGAUAACUGAGGAGAGGCGAUCGGAGCUCACUUUCUGAUUAGGAUUGGGAGAGGAAGAUGAAGAGUAUGCGCAUCUGCCGUGGGCGACGAUCGCGAGUUUUUCGGUGACCGCCGAUUUCUGAAGAAACGGCGCCGUAGAAGAGAGCGUUCUCCUUGCCGCCAAUCGGAGAGCCAUGGCUCACGGUCCAAAGUUCUUGGAAAUUGGGCCUCUGAUAUCAUAAAAUUGGGCCCAAUUGAUUGGUAUUAUGCAUUACUAUUGAGCCGACUUAUAGAGCCAGUUACGUGGCCGAUUUACGGACACUAGUGUUAAAUUUGUAACGGACCAAAAUAAAUCCAAUUUGAAAUUUGUACUCUUUUUUUCUUUUUUCUUUUUUUUUAGUGGAGGAACAUGCUAUUAGCGUAUAUUAUUAUUAUUAUUAUUAUUAUUAUUAUUAUUAUUUAUUAUAGUUACCUUAUACAUUAGGUUACCUUGUAUAUUGGAUUACCUUGUGUAGUAGGUUAGGGUUUCCUACAUGUAACUAUAUAUAUUCUCAAUAUACGUAAGAGAUAUCAUUCUCUCUUCUCUCCAAAUAUUCUCCUUCUAUCAUGGUAUCAAGCCAAAAACCCUAGCCGCCGUUUCUCUCCUUCUUCAAAUUUUUUUUUCUCGUUCUGCCUUCUUCAAUUUUUUUUUUCUUCACGUUCUGCCUUCUUCUCUUCAACCAUGGCCACCGAAACACCAACACCGCCCAUGAUUUCUAACCCUUUUCACCUUGCUCAUGCUAUAUCUAACAUCAAAGCCCUUAUUCCUGUAACCCUGGAUAUUAAAAAUCCGAACUAUCAAAAGUGGAGCCACUUCUUCACCAUCACCGCAGGUCGCUUCUGCCUCACCGAUCUGCUUCUCGGAAACAAAAAGCCCGACAACAUCUCCGCCGAUGAAUGGCAACGUGCGGAUUACCUCCUCCAAUCUUGGAUCUAUGGCACCAUAACCGAGGACCUCUCAAGCAUGGUUCUCUCCAAAACCGCAAUGGCCCAUGAUCUGUGGAAGGCCCUCGCCUCUCUCUUUACAGACAACGAAGACUAUCGGGCCAUCCAACUCGAAGAACAGUUCAAGUCCCUCAAGAAAGGAUCUCUUUCGAUCCAUGAUUAUUGUCAACUUCUCAAAACCACUGCCGACAACUUGGCAGACGUCGGCAACCCCGUGUCAGACAAGCAACUCGUCCUCCAAACCCUCCACGGCUUACCAAAACAUUACGGGACCAUUGUCAAUCUAAUCUCCUUCCAAACUCCGCUGCCAUCUUUUCUCCAAACACGUUCACUACUCCAGAUGGAAGAACAUCGCAUUGCUGAACCGGAACAGACCCCUACUGUUCUCUACGCAUCUCGCCCCAACAGUUCCAACAGUUGGCCGAACAGUUCCAACAGUUGGCCCAACACUUCCAGCAAUUAUCGAGGUGGUGGUUCUUGGCGCAAUCAGCGAGGUGUCGGUCGCACAAAUCGUCGUGGCGGUCGUGGUCAGUCACGACAUCCGAUGCAACACUACGGUUACAAUCAAUUUCACUACCAAUCGCAACCUUGGCGGGCCCCUUAUACGCCUCAGACAUCUUCAUCGAUUCUUGGACCCCCCCCAAGCUCUCCUGGUCCGUAUCAUGCUCCUACAGCUCAUGCUUAUUUCGUUGGACAGCAAGAUCCCCAACAGCACGUGAACUGUUCCAACAGUUCGUCGAACAGUGGUCCCCUACAGCCAACAGAUCUUGCCACUCAUCUCAACACGUUGACUCUUCAGUCAUCGAGCGAACCUCAGUGGUUUAUGGACACGGGCGCCUCAUCUCACAUGGCACCUCACUCAGGUAAUUUCCAUUUUAUUUUUAAUCCUAGUAAUAAUUUUCCCAAGCAUGUCAUCGUUGGUAAUGGCUCCACUGUUCCUAUCCAUAAAAUUGGCCACACCAUCCUACCCUCUACCCCAUUUCGUCUAACCAAUGUCUAUGUUACUCCUCACAUCAUUAAGAACCUUGUGUCUGUCCGAAAAUUCACUAGAGAUAACUCUUGUUCAGUUGAAUUUGACCCUUAUGGCUUUUCUGUGAAGGACCUCCGGACCAGAACACUCAUCC